UAGUUGCAACUCUUGGACAGAGCUCUAGGUGAUUAAUAAGUCGACAGAGUCAAUUAAGGAUCCCAAUGUGCGGUAGUAGCUAGUCUUGAAUAACAUGCACGAGACUCGGUUCUUAAGGACGGUCCCAAUGAGACAACCCGCCAUGUACUCCGACACAACCUCUCAUCGGUACCUUUACCAAAUCAGGUUCACACCUUUACUCUCACACUGUGGGGCAUGAACACAGCUAUUCUGAUUCAUCAUCUAGAUGGAUCAGACCCGACGCAACACUAAGCAUAGCAGGCACAGUUAGAAAGCAUGGAUGAGUAGCACAUCAAGGCUCAAGCAGUUUCUACUUAUGCUAAGUGGUUUCAACUAUUUACUAUGGCAAAAUCAGGUCAUGCAGAGGAAUGGGUUCAACUAUCGAGAAUAAAUAACAGUUGAAUCGUUGCUGUCCUAAUGCAAUAAAAGAGACCAGGAGCGAGAGAGUAGGAUUUUAUUGGAAUGUUCAAGGGGGGUUUGCUUGCCUGACAGUUCUGAAGAUAGCAAUGAGUCUUCAUUAAUGUCAACGAUCACGUCGUUGGAACCAUUGUCUACUGAGAGGGAACAAAACCGACAAAACAAGAAAGGAGCACAUUCAAUGCAAUGCAACAAACAUGAUGUAUGAUAUGUCAUGUUAAAGCAUUGAAUUGACCUAGUGGAAAGGAUAGUCACAUUAAGUGAAGUGGAAUUCAAUAAUAAAUCAAAUACCAACUCCAACACUAUUUAUCAAAUUGUCCUAACCAUCAUUUUCCCUACUUGGUGAUGUUAACUUGUUCAAACAUGCAUGAACAUACCAUAAACAGAUUCAUUGCAUUAUUUUGAUCAUUUUUCAUAUAUUAUUUAUUUAAUUUGGAGUUAUAUUUUAUUUUUUAUGAUUUUUAGAAGUUUGGGAUAUUUUAUGGAAUUAUUUUUAUAUCAUAAAAUCAUUUAUUGCGUCAUGGUGAUGUCAUCAAGUUAAACGUGCGUGGGCCACGUCAAACUGACCAGUGGGGGCCACUGGUCAGUGACCCACUGGCUAAUCCCAUGCUGACCCGCCCCUAAUGGGGUUUGACCCACCCCCAGGGCCCACUUUCAUCGACUAAUGGGGUGGGGAUUUGGUCCUAAUGACGUCCACGUCGACCCACACCGGAGGGUGGUCACCGGCGACCAUAGCCACGGAGGAGGGCUCAUCGAAGAUGGCUUAGAUGGCGCUACAAAGCACGGUUUCGAGAGCGGUUUGCGGCUAUGCGAAGCUAGCGAAGUGGCCGAUAUAGCAGAGGCAACGGGAGGAGCUAGGGUAGCUGGAGAAGGCAUCGAUGACAAGGCGCGCGGCGGCCGGAGUUCGGGUUCUUCGGAACCGGCGCUAGAGGGGACGAACGACCGCGGCGAGAGGGGGAUGGAAACUACAACUCACAGCGGAUCCAGGGGCGCAGACGGUGGGCUCAGCGACGUGUUGUGGCCGACGAAUCGACGAGAGAGGACUGGCGGACGGAGGUGAGGAAGACGGUGGCGAUGGCGGCGCUCCGAGGCCUUCGAGAUCGAUUCCGGUGGUGAGGAGGAGUAGGGCGACGGGGCGGUUCCAUUGGCCACAAAAGAGAGGCGAGGGGUGGCUGGAGGCUACGUGGACGACGGUGGCCUGCUCGAGCAGAGCUCGGCCAAGGAGAGGGGAAGGCGAUGCAGAGCGCGGGAAGAAGAGAGAGGGGUCCACAGGGUGCGUGGCGUUGUCUAAGAGCUCCAGGGCUAGCCACACAAGCAUGGAGGAGCUGGCCUCGUCGGCUGUGGCAUGCUGGACAGCGAGCUGCUUCUCCUUCUGGCAUAAGGUAGAAGAAGCUCUCGCUGAUGGGCUCCGCCUUAGGUGAGAGCGAGGUAAGUUUCCUCCUCUGUUUUUAUUUUUUUGUUAUUUCUUGUUUUAUAAUUUAUGUGAUAUAUUUUGAAUUUAUUUUUACAAUCAAAUCAUUUUUAUAGCUUCUGAAAAUUAUUAUGUGGCUUGAUGAUAUAUAUUCAUAGCCACUCACCAAUUUUCAGAAUUAUUGGAAUUAUAAUUCUCUUGUAGCAAAAUUAUAUCCAACUCAAAUAACUAUUAAUUUAAUUCAAAGUCCGAAAUAAAUGCUUUUGUGAUUCCAAAAAUAUUCAUUUGAAUUUUACCUCAUGUCAAUAUUUUAUCGGAAUACCAUGGACAUUUUCUUGGACUUCUUUGAAGCAAUUUUUAUCUUGGUCAUUUGACAAAAUUCUUUGUGAGGCUUGAUCAUACCUCAAUUCAAAUUCAUUUGAAUUUAAAAAUGCAUGCAUGAGUAUGCAAUGGCAAGCAAUGCUAAACUAGGGUUGUGACAAUGGACUAGAGGGGGUGAGUAGGAUAUUUUUACAAAUUCGUCAUUGAGGAAUUACUCGUUGAGUAAAUUACUUAGCAACGAUACACAAGAGCGAAAUAAGUACUCAAGUGCAUGCAGAACAUAGCAACAGCAUAUUCAUAAAUAUGAACUGAAACAUACACAUAGAUCAGAUAGCGUGUAACUAGGAUAAGCAGGUGAAGAACAAGGUGGUUGAAGAUUUUGAGAUGAGGAAAUUAAGAAAGUCUUCAAUGAGAGUCUACAAGUAGUAAUGAUCAAUUUCAUCGACAAGUACUUGAGGAAUAGAUGAGUUGAGGAAAUAGAACCAGGAUCUCGAUGAAGACAAUGGUUUGAUGACCAAGUUCCAACUGUUGUGACAGUUGUACGUCUAGUUUGGAGCAGCUUCGUAUUUAAACCAAAGGACACACAGUCCUAGGACACAUAGUCCUUACCGUAUUCUCCUUGAGCAAAGGUCGCACAAACUUCGCCCAACACUCGUGGUAACUCUUCACGGGAGACUUCCAAACCCUCACAAACUCGGUCACCCGGCAAUCCAUAAUUUACUCCUGGAUGCUCUAGACCAUUGAUGCCUAACCAUCUGAAAGAUAUAGUCUUCAAAGGUAACAAGCGUAGGUUCCACACAAGAACAAUCUCUUUAGUGAUGCUCAAUCCCUUUGGGUUUUGGUUUUGGUUUGGGUGUUUGGGUUUUUCCUCACAGAUGAUUUUCUCUCAAAGUCCUCAAAGGAUGGUAUGCUCUCAUAUAACAAGUGUCAAGUCCUCUCUCACAGAAGCCAACCAGCUACUUGUUAUAGGGUCGGCUAUUUAUACCAUGGGAGCAGUCCCAACAUGAUACGGUAUAAAUGCACCCUAAUGAUAUGGCCAUUAUGUGGAUAAGGUUUUAGGACAGCUGGCGCAAGGCACAACAAUGGUCGGAAUUUUUGAACUAUGAAAAUCCUCAGAUAUAUCAUGUUCCUCACUUAUAGGCAAUUCGCACUAGCGAAAUCCUAAGUCCUCGGUCAAAACAAUUUCCUCAAAGACCAGAAGAGCUUUGUCUCCGUUACUGAAUAAAAUGUCUGAACUGCAAGAGAUUUCCAAAGGCUUCACUUGAAGGAUUCAUUAUGUGUGGCUUUGAGAUGAGCAUCACUUAGAAAUUUUUCCUUAGCAUUACCUCAACGCCCUUUAACAGUAUGGUGUUCCUAUGACUCAAUUCCUAUGACUCAACAGAAAGAAAAUGAGACUAUGGAAGCAGAAGUCUUCACACUUCAAAGUCCUCGUAUCAAUAUCUUCAAGGAUACACCAAUUUCCUUACUUUCAAAAUCUUCAAUAAAGUAUUAAAGUCUUUAGUUGGAGACAUUCAUUUUUAGGGGUCGACUUUCUUCGAUUAUCUCAAACUCCUCGGCGACUUAUAGAGCUUGUGUACACUCACAAACAUAUUAGUCCCUUAACCUAUAAGUCUUAAAUACAUCAAAAUCACUAAGGGGCACUAGAUACACUUACAAAAACAAAAACGCAGAUCACAAGCAUCAUGAAGGAUUUCUGGAGCCGCUAAUGGGGAGUAUCACCAACCUACUAUUAAGUAACUACUUACAAAUUAUCAUUCACUUGUUCCACUCUCUACUUGCCUAGCAUGCUAUCUUUAUCAUUGUCACACAAAAACAAAAAGUAAAAAAAAUUAAGAUAAAUUUAUCCUCAUCCACUUGCGAAUCUUUUCAGAAGACCCGAUUAUGUUGAACCAAUUGCUAGUGAGUUUAGUGCACUAGAUGAUCUUUAUAAGGUCUUGCUUGAAAAUUGUGAAUAUGAAAAUUGUGAUGAAGUGUUAAAAGAAAUUUUAAAAGUGAUUCAGGAUAAUUCCUUCAAUGAAAAGCAUGAUUGCAAGCAAGGUUCUCAGAAUCAUGAUUUUGGAUCGGAUCGGAGCUCUGAUGGCAGGAUCGCAAAUCAUAGAAUCUUCACUAUCAGGAUUGUAAAAGCUUAAAUUCUCUGAACCAAAAUCAUAAUAUCAGAGGAGUUUUUUCGGGUCAUAAAGUCCUAGAAUCGUAAAACAGAAUCAUGAUUCUAACAACCUUGAUUUCAAGGUUGUUAGUAUAAAUUCUAUGGCUAUCAAUUGUGCUAAUGAUCAUAAUUGGUGUGAUAAUCAUGAUGUUUAUUUUGAUAUCGAUAAUUCUAAGCUUCAUGAUAAAUAUAUUAAGUAUUCUAAUAUUUGCAAUACUACUAAGAGUGGGUUUGGAAGAGCGNNNNNNNNNNNNNNNNNNNNNNNNNNNNNNNNAAGAGCGUCAACUUUAGGUAAUAAUGAUCCCAUUAUUUUGGAGAAUGAUAUAUCCUAUGAAUUUUUUGAUAAAAGUGGGUUUGGAGAGGUCAUGACUUAUGUUGGUGUUAAUCCCACUAUCUUGGAAUAAUAUAAAAUGUGUAUGCAUGUGGAUCAUAAAUAGAAUGUUUAUAUGAUAGUUAUAUAGUUGAGCGUGAUUAUGAUCCUACAUGCAAUUAUUAUGAGAGAGGAAAGUAUGGUUACAGGAAUCUGCAUGUUACUAAAUUACCUCUCUUUGUGUUGAAAUUGCCAAUGCUUCGUUCUUCCUACUUGUAUAUGAUAGACACUUAUUAUCUUCAUAAAUUGUUUGCUUAUACAAUUCCUAUGCAUAGGAAGUAUGUUAGACUUAAAUGAGCUUAUCACAUGUUUUACGANNNNNNNNNNNNNNNNNNNNNNNNNNNNNNNNNNNNNGACGCUCUCUUUGUGCUUCAAUUCUUGUCUUUUAUGUAAGCAUCAUUAUUAUCCCAAGCCUAUCUUCAUGGCUAUAAAGAAAGAGAUUGUUCAGAGACAACCCAAUGCUUUAUGUUUGUGUGUGAUAACAUGGUUUUCGCCUCUGUAACUAUUAUUAUUUUAUGUUUAAAUUAGUGUGUGUUCCAAGUAAAUCCUUUAGGAUGAUUUGAAUGAUAGUGGAAUAGAUGCGGUGCAAAAACAGAAACUUUAGCAUUGAGUGCAUAAUUUCUCUUAUUUUACUGGAACGUCUUUUUUAUCUAUAUUUUUUCACAAUAUUUUUAUAUAAAUUCUGCAGGUAUUCCUAAGUUUUAAGAAAUUUUGAAGUCACAUAAGUAUGGUACUUAACUAUAUCAUUACACAGUGUUCUGUUUUAGACAGAUUAUGUUUUUUGCUUGCCAUAGUUUGCUUGUUUUGGUGAUGUCAUGGAUUGUAUCGGGGGGUAUAAUUCAUGGAGAAAUUAGAAUACACUACCUUAUGCAAUAAUAAAAUAUUAAUCAAUUUAUAGCAGUAUCUAAAGUAUUUGAUAUGUUUAUUAUACUAACGGAUCUAACGAUGUUUCUUUUGAGUUUUUUGUACUGAAGUUUUCAAGUUUUAGGUGUUAUCACGAUGGAUGAAGGAAUAAAGACAGGCAAGUGCCUAAGCUUGGGGAUGCCCAAGGCACACCAAGGUAAUAUUCUAGGAAGACUCAAGCAUCUAAGCUUGGGAAUGCCCAAGAAGGCAUCCCCUCUUUCGUCUCAAUCCAUCGGUAUGUCACUUGGAGCUAUAUUUUUAUUCAUCACAUGAUAUGAGUUUUGCUUGGAGUGUCAUUUGCUUUAGUUUGUUUUUGUUUUAGUUUUCCACAACCAUUGUUAUCUGAAUACACCGACUUGAGAGAGACACAAGAUCACCAUGAUUUAUUAGAAUACUUUAUGCGCUUCACUUAUAUCUUUUGAGCUUAGUAGUUGCUCUAGUGCUUCGCUUAUAUAUUGUAGAGCACAGUGGCGUAUAGAUUUUAAAGAAACAAUUUCACUCUAGUUCUUCACUUAUAUUUGUUUGAGAGUUAAUAAACAGCGACGCUAAUUUGCAUGGGUUAUAAGACUAGUCCAAAAAUAAUAGGUAUUCAAUGAGUGCAUAAUCCAAACCACACGUAGCACAUAAAAGAGAAAUCAUGGUUAAUGAUAUUAAUGUGGUAAUGUGAAAAAACAUAUGUGCAUGAUCAUUGGUUAAUAUAGAAGUAUCAUGAAUUAAAGGUUGUUAACUUUCAGUUCAUCCAAAUAUUUUUAUGGCAUGGUGAUGACAUGAGACCAUACUUAUUCCUCGUUGAAAUCCUAGUGUUGUUUAAGUCGAGGGCGCGUGAUAGUUAACUUCUACCAACCUCCUCCCUUGAGGUGUGCGAGUAGUGCUUUGCUUCGAGAGAGCUAAUAAAAUCUUGCAAUAAGUAUGUGAGAUCUCUUUGACUAAUGUGAAUCCAUAGAUACACGCACUCUCACCUCCACAUAUUUGCUAGCCUCUUUGGUACCGUGCAUUGCACAUUCUCACCUCGAGGAUUGGUGCAGCCUUCGCCGGUGCAUCCAAAACCCAUGACAUGAUACACUCUGUUGUUGUCGGAAUUGGGGCUCCGAGGACCUAAAGAGGUUCGAACUCUGGGGUGUGCUGGUUCCCCCGCCCUGCUCUACCUCGUAACCUCACGACGACACUCCGGCGUGCUUGAACUAAGGAAGAAGAACAUUGGACAUGGAAGUUUACCCAGGUUCAUGCCACCUUGUGAUAUAAAACCCUACUCCAGCUUGUCUGGAUUGCUUGAGGGUGAGAGAGAGUACAAAGGUGGGUUCUGGCUAGCUCCGGGUCAAUCCCCUUCUACGACGGUAGCCUGCCCUAUAUUAUACUAGCCCCUGUCCUCUUCCUGUGAAAACACAAGGCGGGAAGGGUUGCCACAACGGCAAGAUUGAAGGGGGCAGGAUUGUGGCUUAUCCUAACAAAAGUAGUAUUCGCGUGCAAAAGCCUCUUGUUGUGAUGCGCUCGUGGGCUCGGGGAUGACCUCCGCCCUGGAGAGCCCCGAGCCUUGGUAUUCUUGCACCAAGUGGGAAACCUUUGGAGAUUGCUUUGGGGAUUGGCGAGCUGGCCCUGCUCCCUUAGCACAAAAGAGGAAAUCCUCCUCAUUUGAGCCUGCUGGCAUGGCUCCUGGAGCUUCUCGGCAUGGCGUUCUACCUGAGGAAAGGGUGAUGCAGAGAAGUAGAUAAGUAUUUCCCUUGGUUUGUUGAGAACCAAGGUAUCAAUCCAGUAGGAGGAACAAGCAAGGCCCCAAUAGUAGUACCUACACAAACAAUCGAACACUUGCACCCAACGCUAUAAAGGGGUUGUCAAUCCCUUCAGAGUUAUUUGCAAGGAUGAGAUAUGAUAGAGGUAGAUAUAAAAGAUUGCGGAAACAAAAGUAAACAAUUGCAGCAAAGUAUUUUUGGUAUUUUUGGUUUAUAGAUCUGAAAAUAUAAUAUGGAAAAUAGACCGACGGGCCAUAGAUUUCACUAGAGGCUUCUCUCAUAAAGGAAAACAAUACGAUGGGUGAACAAAUUACUGUCGAGCAAUUGAUAGAAAAGAAAAUAAUUAUGAAGAUAUCCAAGGCAAUGAUUAUGCAUAUAGGCAUCACGUCCGUGUCAAGUAGACCAAAACGAUUCUGCAUCUACUACUAUUACUCCACACAUCGACCGACUACUGUCUGCAUCUAGAGUAUUAAGUUCAUGAAGAACGGGGUAAUGCAUUAAGUAAGAUGACAUGAUGCAGAGGGAUAAACUCAAGCAAUAUGAUGAAAACCCCAUCUUUUUAUCCUCUAUGGCAACAAUACAAUACAUGCCUCGCUACCCCUACUAUGUCACUGGGUGAGGACAGUGCAAGAUUGAACCCAAAACUAAGCACUUCUCCCAUUGCAAGAAUUACCAAUCUAGUUGGCCAAACCAAACCAGUAAUUCGAAGAGACUUGCAAAGAUAUGAAAUCAUGCAUAUAAUAAUUCACAAGAGACUCAAAUAAUAUUCAUGGAUAAUCUGAACAUAAACUCACAAUUCAUAGGAUCUCGACAAACACACCGCAAAAGAAUAUUACAUUGGAUAGAUCUCCAUGAAGAUCAUGAAGAACAUGGUAUUGAAGAUCAAAGAGAGAGAAGAAGACAUCUAGCUACAAACUAUGGACCCGUAGGUUUGUGGUGAAGUAUUCAUGCAUCAUCGGAGGGGCAAUGGAGUUGAUGUAGAUGCCCUCCGUGAUCAAUUCCCUCUUCGACAGAUUAGCGAAAAAGGCUCCCAGAUUGGAUCUCAUGGGAACGGAGGCUCCCAGCGGCGUAAAAGUAUUUCGUGGCUCCCUUUGGCGAUACAGGAAUAUUUGGGAAUUUAUAGGCCAAAGAAUAGGGUUAGGAGACCUGUAGGGGAUCCACCAGCCAGGGGGCGCGGCCAACCCCCUAGGGCGCACCCUGCAGGCUUGUGGCCUCCCGACAAAUGUCGUGCCCCUAAGUCUGCUGCGUUUCUUCUGGUCCAAGAAAAAUCAUUCCGGAGAUUUUAUUCCGUUUGGACUCCGUUUAAUAUUCCUUAUUUGUAAUACACUAAAACAUGGAAAAAUAGAAACCGGCACUAGGCUCUAGAUUAAUAGGUUAGUCCCAAAAAUAAUAUAAAACAACAUAUAAAACAUCCAAAGCAGAUAAUAUAAUAGCAUGGAACAAUCAAAAAUUAUAGAUACGUUGGAGACGUAUCAAGCAUCCCCAAUCUUAAUUCCUGCUCGUCCUCGAGUAGGUAAAUGAUAAAACAGAAUUUUUUAUAUGGAAUGCUACCUAACAUAUUUAUCCAUGUAAUAUUCUCUAAUGUGGCAUGAAUAUUCAGAUCCAUAAGAUUCAAAACAAAAGUCUAAUACUGACAUAGAAACAAUAAUACUUCAAGCAUACUAAUAAGGUAAUUGCUUCCUUUCGAAAUAGCAUGGUCUUAGAAAGUUAUCCCUACAAAAUCAUAUGGUCUGGCUAUGAUCCAUCUUCACCACACAAAGUAUCUAAGUCAUGCACAACCCCGAUGGAAAUCAAGCAAUUGUUUCACACUUUUUAUGUUCUCAAAAAUUUGCAACUCUCACGCAAUACAUGAGCGUGAGCCAUGGAUAUAACACUAUAGGUGGAAUAGAGUGUGGUGGAGGUUGCAAAAAAAGGAGAAGAUAGUCUCACAUCAACUAGGCAUAUCAAUGGGCUAUGGAGAUGCCCAUCAAUAGAUAUCAAUGUGAGUGAGUAGGGAUUUCCAUGCAACAAAUGCACUAGAGUUGUAAGUGUAUGAAAGCUCAAAAAGAAAACGAAGUGGUUGUGCAUAAGAUGUAAUUCCACUAGUUAUAUGAAAGUGACAAAAUAGGAGACUCUCUAUGAAGAACAUGGUGCUACUUUGAAGCACAAGUGUGGAAAAAAAUAGUAGCAUUGUCCCUUCUUUUUUUUCUCAUUCGUUUUUCUUUUUUUCUCUUUUUCGGUGGGCUUCUUUGUUCUCUUUUAUUUUAUUUUAUAGGCUUUGUUGGCCUCUUUUAUUAUUUUUUCGUAAAGUCCUGAGACUCAUCCCAACUUGUGAGGGAAUCAUAGCUUCCAUCAUCCUUUUCUCACACGGGACAAUGCUCUAAUAAUGCAAAUCAUCACACUUUUAUUUACUUACAACUCAAAAGAUUACAACUCGAUAUCUAGAACAAAGUAUGACUCUAUAAGCAAUAUGGAAGUGAUGGUGCGUGUCAUAAAAAAAUGAGACGGUGGUGUUGUAUGGCAAUAUAUCUCGGAAUGGCUAUGAAAAUGCCAUAAUAGGUAGGUAUGGUGGUUUUUUUGAGGAAAAUAUAUGGUGGAUGUUUUGAGGAAGGUGGGUUUAAUGUACCAACGAGAGUUGCGCGGUACUAGAGAGGCUAGCAAAGGUGGAUGGGUGAGAGUGUGUAUAAUCCAUGAACUCAACAUUAGUCAUAAAUAACUCAUAUACUUAUUGCAAAACCCUAUUAGUUAUCGAAGCAAAGUAUUAGACGCAUGCUCUUAGGAGAAGGGUUAGUAGGAGUUAACCAUCGUGCGAUCCCGACCUCCACCCAAAGGUUGACAAUCAUUAAACAAAUCAUGCUCCGACUUCAUCACAUAACGGUUCACCAUACGUGCAUGCUACGGGAAUCACAAGCUUUAACACAAGUAUUCCUUCCAAUUCACAAUUACUUACUAGCAUGACUCUCAUAUUACCAUCUUCAUAUCUCAAAACUAUAUGCAAUGAAUCAAACUUCUCAUCAUAUUCAAUGCACUUAAUAUGAAAGUUUUUAUUAUAUCCCUCUUGGAUGCCCAUUAUAUUAGGACUAAAUUCAUAACCUAAGCCAAUUACCAUGUUGUUUAAAGAACUCUCAAAAUAAUAUAAGUGAUGUACGAGGGUUUAAUAAUUUCUAUAAAACACAACACCGUCGUGCUCUAAAAGAUAUAAGUGAAGCACUAGAGCAACAUUGCCUAGCUCAAAAGAUAUAAGUGAAGCACAAAGAGUAUUCUAAUAAAUUCACGAUUCAGUGUGUCUCUAUCAAAAGAUAUGUGUAGAAAGGAUGGUUGUAGGAAACUAAAAUGUAAAGACUCUUAUCAUACAAGACGCUCCAAGCAAAACACAUAUCAUGUGGUGAAUAAAAAUAUAGCCUCAAGUAAUUUUACCGAUGGAUUGAAGACGAAAGAGGGGAUGCCUUCUGGGGCAUCCCCAAGCUUAGGCUCUUUGGUAUCCUUGAAUACGGCUUGGGGUGCCUUGGGCAUCCCCAAGCUUUGGCUCUUGUCACUCCUUUUUCCAUAGUCCAUCAAAUCUUUACCCAAAACUUGAAAACUUCACAACACAAAACUCAACAGAAAACUCAUGAGAUCCGUUAGUAUAAGAAAUAUAAAUCACCACUUUAGGUAUUGUUGUGAACUCAUUAUUUAUUUAAAUUGAUGUAAUAUUUACUGUAUUCCAACUUCUCCGUGGAUUCAUCAAAAUAAGAAAACAACACAAAGAAAACAGAAUCUGUCAAAAAUAGAACAGUAUGUAGAAAUCUGUUUACUUAGAAUACUUAUAUAAGUCCAAAAACUCUGAAAACCUAGGAAAAUAUGGUAAAUUUGUAAAUAAAUCUUGUGUAAAAAUGCAGAUUAAAAUCAGGCUCCAGUGAAUUUACAAAAUUCCUGGACUGAGAGCACAAGUUUCUGUUUUUCAGCAAAAUCAACUUGCAAACACCGUAGACCAUCCCAAAGGUCUUACUUGGCUCAAACACUAAUUAAAAGAAGAAAACACAAUUAUUACAGAGGAGUGUGUUAAGCACACAAAAACAGAAGCAAAAACAAAAGCAUUAAAUAAAAUUGGGUUGCCUCCCAACAAGCGCUAUUGUUUAACGCCCGUAGCUAGGCAUGGUGAUUUCAAUGAUGCUCGCAUAAAAAGUAGUAAUUGAGAUAUGCAAAAGAGCAUCUUGAAUAGCAUGAAAAACACAUUUAAGUCUAACCCACUUCCUAUGGAUAGGGAUUUUGUGAGCAAACAAUUUAUGGGAACAAGAAUCAACUAGCAUAGGAAGGCAAAAGAAGCAUAACUUCAAAAAUUUAAACACAUAGAGAGGAAACUUGAUAUUAUUGCAAUACCUACAAGCAUAUGUUCAUCCCUCAUAAUGAAUUUCAGUAGAAUCAUGAAGGAAUUCAACAAUAUAACUAUCAUAUAAAAUUUUCUCUUCAUGGUCCACAUGCAUGCAAAGUUGACACUCUUCCAAAAGAGUGGGAUUAUCAUUAACUAAAGUCAUGACCUCUCCAAACCCACUUCUAUCAAAAAAAUAUAAGAUUGAGCACUCUCCAAAAUAGUGGGAUCAAUAAUGCCUAAAGUUGACACUCUUCCAAACCCACUUUCAAUAUCAUAAUCAUCAAGAGUAUUAAAUAAAUUAUCAAGAUCAUAAGAAGUAUUAUCACCCCCAAUCAUGAUCGUUGCAAUAAGUAGUGGUCAUGGCAAACUCAUCAAAUAUAGCAUCCCCAAGCUUGUGGGUUUGCAUAUCAUUAGCACAAUUGAUAUUAAUAGAAUUUAUAGUAACGUCAUUGCAAUCAUGCUUUUCAAUCAAGGAGCUAUCAUGAAUCACUUUAUAAAUUUCUACUUUCAACACUUCAUCAAAAAUUUCAGAUUCAUGAUUUUCAAACAAAAUUGCCCACACACGUACGCCGCCACACCCGGGGAACCUCCCAGGGGGCGUGGGCGCCCUCCACCAGUGACCCAUUCUAGCUCAGGAAGUCGUGGAAAAAUCACAGCCCGCGGACGCGAACGCAAGGGGCGAGGCGGCCAUGGGUGGGGUAGGAGGAAUGACACAGCUACUCGGCCACCCCGGCCAUGGAGACACCCCACCGAUGCGGCCCGCGAGUUUAUAGUGGGGAUGGACAGCCAGCCCCACACCUGUCUCCGGCUCCUAGACUCCUUCGCAGAGGAGAUGGCGGAGCGCACACCCCCUGGCCUAUGGCUACAGCCGCACGACUGCUGCAAUGGAUCUUCCUGGGUGGCGAAAUAGUUCACUCCCUUUGGCUCAUGUUCUUGAAGCGGGGGUGGAAGUCGUUCGCUCUCACUCGCGGAUUGAAUGAGUGGAAUGUCCUCCACUUCAGGUUCGACGAGACCACCAUCUUUUCAUGACGAUCUUAGGGGAAGAUGACGACCGCCUGGGCUGCUGCAUGAAGAGCAACAACAAUGGUGGCAGCAGCUCCUCCGGUGAUGAUGGUAGGAGCAGCACUUCCUCCGAGAGAAGCUUGAGUGACGACUCCUCGAUCAUCCACGUCAAGAAGGAAGACUCUCACUAGGCGCAGGCAGUGCCAGAGUCAUAGUCCUCGAGGCGGUGCUAUCCGGGCCCGGUCCUUCCUCUUUUGCUUUUUGCUUUUUUCUUUCUGCAAUGAACCAUGUUGGCCCCGUGGGGGCAUGUAAGAAGAAUUAGGGCCCUUGCACCUUAGGUUUAAUUUUGUCGAAAAUGAGUUUUUUCUUAGGGCUUCUCGCUAGGCUUGUCCCCUUCUCUGUGGUCGCCUUAAUGCUUUGUGUCGCUAGGACCCAGCCCCCGAGAAGGACUUAGUCGUCGAUGUAUGUGAGGUCCCAAUGCCUAGGACAAGACCAGGAGGUGAGGGGCCCGAAGUCCGGUAAGAUCCCGUGAGGUGUCAUGCUCAGUAGGCCCCCCUUGAUGCACAAGCAGCUCACGCAAGAGAAGAUGCUUCCGCCUAGAGCGAGGUUGCGGGAAUAAGGAACACUACCAAAGAUCACCGAGUCGUGUGGGGCACUUAACUUAACUUUCCAGAGUGUGUCACAACGUGGUCGCGGCCUAUGAGAGGUUCACAUGGCAUGAGGGCGCAUCUUCCCAAAGUUCACUUCCUUAUCCCAUCUUCUAUCCAGGUACAUAUCAAUGUAAGCCCCGCGAGGCGUGCGUGAAAAAUUGCUGCCCUUUGCAACCAAUGCCUUUGCAAUUCAAACCAUGCGCCCACUUCUGAGGUCCCCUCACAGGGUUCUCCCCUUUUCCCUUGCUUUCUUAGGUGCUCUGCAUCAUCGGGACCUAGCCCUCGAGCGAGCCUCAGCUGUCGCUGGUAUGUCACGUCAUGGUGCUUGGACAAGGCCAGGAGGUGAGGGGAUCCGGGGGCUAGUUAAGGCUCCUGAGGCGCGAUGCUCAGGAGUCUCCCCUUGACGCGCAAGCGGCUCACGUGAGGGAAAAUGUUGGCAACAACGAGGCUGCCCCGGGGGGUUCUCAUACUUAGUCAUUUGCAAGGCCAAUAAUUUGUCGCUUUCCAGGCAUGCCUUGUGAGAUCUCUCGAGUGAUUCGUCCCGAGGAAAAAUCAUGCGCACAAAAGCUUCAUUUCGAAGGAUUGAAAGCUUGCACUUGGUUCUCAUGUGAGGAGAAAAGACACCAAGGUCCUUGGUGGGAUGACGUGCACGGGAACAGGCCCGUGAGCCAUAGCCCAGUCCCUUGGGUUUUCAACACUGUUGCGACUAACCCGAGCACACACACCAUGUCCAGCCCCCGCUCGCAUGAGGCUCAAGGGGAAGCCGGCGAGCGCGUGCCGCGGAAGAAAGCCAGCAGCUGCCGUGUCAAGAAGGCCUCACCCUGAGGUUGGUGCGGCCCGUGGGGCGGUAUCAGUUGACUAUCCACAAGCAUGGAGCAUGGGGCUUCCGCUUGGGCGUGGGCAUGGUCAUGGUUUGAUCGUUCUGCCGCGUGAGGCAUGGAACUUCCACUUGGGCAUGGGCAUGAUCAUAGUUCGAAUGUUCUACGAGCGCUGAGCAUGGGGCUUCCACUCGGGCGUGGGCAUGGUCAUAGUUCGAUCGUUCCGCCAGCGCUGAGCAUGGGGCUUCCAUUGGGGCAUGCACGAUAGCUCUAUUCCAGAGUCUCUGGGGCGUGUACAGCCCCAUUUCGUUCGUAUGUGUGGCAAGCAGGGCAAAACUGGUGCAGGUGUCGGAUGCUCCAGGCACGGGGCUCAGGAGCUCCUUCCUCGGUCCUCGGGCGGUUUGUGCCUAGUUCUUGACGCAAUUGUGUGCUCAUGUAACCUUUGACAUGGGGGUGACACGCGUCGGGUGACCAUCCAGAGGCCAUUGCACGAAGAGGUUGGACAUCGUGGACCCAAAUGAGGUGACAUGUGCGGGUGUGGACCACCAAACAGAGCUUGUUUACUCAGGUUUAGCAACGCUGCAUGGACGGACCCGAGCAUAGACGUCGUGUUGAGUUCCUCCAUGGAAUGAUCAAGGGAAAAGUCAUCGGACGCAUGGAGCCCGAGGUGGCGAAACACCAAACUAGCAAUCAUACAAAUUGGGUCACACCCUUACUUACUUACUCGCGACGAUUCCAUGAGAGGGCAAGACACCAAGGACCUCUGUGAGAUGACGUGCACGGGAGCAAGCCCGCGAGACAGAGCUUGAUUGCUUGGAUUUAUCAAUGGUGUAGGGGCCGACCCGAGCACAAACGCCGUGUCCAGCCCCUAGUCAUGGGAUGACCGAGGGAAGAGUUGCGAGGGCUCAACGAUUUCAGAUGGUGACGAGGGACCAUACACAAGGUUUAGGCAAAUGUCAUAAACUCUAUAAAAGAUAACCAUAUUUUCUACAUGACCAAAAAGUGAGGAUGUUACAGGGACAGACCCUUGCCAACUUGAGGAUGAUGUAGCCCGAAGGGUUCCCUCAAUUUGAACAAACCGAAAAGUCACCUAGCAAUCAUGUUGUUGCGGAAGCGUCAGGCUGCUUGGCGAAGCGUGUCAUGGAGGUUCACCUCUCACGGACCGGUUGGCCCCUGAGGUCUUGAGGGCUUGCGAGGGCCCGACAUCUUGCGAGUCGCCAUCACGAGUUGUGACAACCUUUGUAAGGUGGCGUUGGUGUUCUCCAUGGCAAAGGGCAUGAAGACAUAGUUGGUGGCGACACCCCUGCUCAGGCCAACGUGAUGGCCAAAAGAGUUCGUCAAAGCCGGCCCUGUUGAGGCUCACAGUGUCGACGCACACGUGCACCUUGUUGUUCUCCCCAGGGCAGCAGUCGAGUUGAUGGGAUGUCUCGAACGAUGCUCGCCAUGCAUGGCAUGAGCCUCUCACAGCUUGUCAAUCUCUUGGGUGAUGAACUCUUGUGCCCCUGGCAACUGGCACCGUAUUCCUUUCUUGCGGGAGAACGCGUCAAAGCAUGCCUCCAAGUGGUUCUCGAGCACCUCCCUCAUCACACUAGUCAGGUCACACACUUUCCAGGUGGAAGCCCUCAAGCCUGUCGCGAGGUAGGCGCCUGGUGCGCCUUCCUAUGCUGGGGGGAGACAGGAGCCGAGAGCGAGCACAAGGCUCGUGAUGCUGGAGUCAGGCGCUGCAUUCUUCGCCUCAACGGGGCCUUGGACGGGGAAUGACAGCUUCUUCCUUGGGGACGCGGCCUCGCGGAGCCCGGUGCCUCCCUCAUCAUCUGAAUGCUCGGCCAUGGUGAUGGAACAUACCGCAUCCUUUUCCUGGCAGGAAAUGGUGAUGAUGCCGCUGUAGCUAGGCAUCUUGAGGAUGUUGUAGCCAUCGUGGGUCGCCGCGAUGAAUUUGGCAAGCACCAGGUAUCCCAGGAUUUCAUUGUAUGGGAGGCUGAUGUGUGGCACAUCAAAGUCGAUGAGCUCGGUGUGGUAGUUGUCGCGCGUGCCGAAGGUGACAGGGAGGUGGACUUGCCCUAGGGGAAUGGUGCAGCCAUCGGUCACCCCAUAAAAUGGCCUGGUAGGCAGCAGUUGGUCGUAGGGAACCUUGAUUGUCUCAAACAUCCCAACAGAGAGCACAUUGAGGCUGGCGCCUCCUUCGAUGAGGGUCUUGGUGACUCAGACGCUGCUGAUGGCGGGAGUGCACAACAUGGGAAGCGCGCUCGCGAUAGCCGUGGAUUUGAGCCCCUCCUUGGAGUCGAAGGAGAUGGCGUACUAUGACCAUUUGAGGGGUCGGGCGGCCUCUGUCCUUGGGAGGGCGGCGCUCACCUCAUGAGAGAACUGCUAGAAUAGUCGGUUCGAUGCGGGGGCAUGGGCUCCGCCGAGGAUACAUGCUAUCGCGCGAGGCUCCUCAUAGCCCCCAGCCUCCUCGCCAUGUUGGUUGUUGUUGUUCCUCCUGGGCGGCGGUGGCAAGGGCGGAAGGGCAGCACUAUCUUGAGGGUGCACCUCGCGAGGUUGUUCUCUGUAGGCGCCCUCACGAGGCUGAUCACGCCAGCCGUCCUCGCAUGGUUGCUCGCGCCAACCCUGGCAGGGGUUUCCAUUGUGGUUGUCCCACAUACCGUCGCCACAGCCACCGCCAUGGCCGACUCUACGGCCAUUGUAGUCUGGACGCCUGCCCACACGCUCGUCGCUGAGGGACUUGAGCUCUUGGCGGUCUUCGGUGUUGUGGUUGUGCACGUUGUGGCAGACAUAGAGCGGAUGACGGUCCUUCUCGGGCACAUCAUGGUCACGGCCGCGCUUCUGCUCAAGCUCCUCCGCAAGAACAGCACGGCCCUUGUGCUUGACCUCCUUGCCCUUUGCCUUACUAUUGUCGGGCGUGGCGUCCGGGUCGUUGUGGAUGAACAUGUGACCCUCUUCGGCCUUGGCGCACUUGUCAAUGAUGUUGAACCGCUCCGGAGCCGAGCUCGGGCCGUUAUUGAUGGCGAGCUUAUCACACAUCCGGACGUCCUUGGUGCUGUUGGGGAAUGCCAUGAUGAUGGAUUCAUCUGAGUCACACGGGAUCUUGUUGCACACUUGGCUGAAGCGCUGGAUGUACUUGCAUAGGGUCUCUUGAUACGUCCAAAACGUACCUAUAAUUUUUUAUAGUUUCAUGCUACUUUUAUGCUUUUGGUAAUUGUUUUUGUAUUAAGUUUAUGAUUUAUUUGGACUAACCUACUAAUAUUUGCAAAACUUCACAAUUUUCUUGUUUUACACUUUGAUGUGUAGGAAUUAUCAAAAAUAGAAGAGGAAACCUUGUUGGAGUGGGACACUGACUUUCCUGAAAUGUGUCCCCCCUACAGAUUUUAGCGAUCAUCAGUUUCCGCCUCGAAGAUGACGUCAAAUGGAAAUAUAAUACAUGUGAAAGUUGUCGUGGAUUUUAUUAUGAUAAUUCUUGACAUACAAUUCGGCCCAUUUGGAGUUCGGACGCUCCACGAAAGCCCGUUUUACUGGAGGAAAAAUAUCUGAUUACAGGAUUACGAGAAUCGGUAACGUGAUUGAGUCCAACUCUUAUCAUAUUAGAUGGAUUCGGCCAAGCCACGACUUGGGGACCUCAUUAGGGCUGAGAGGGGUUCCUAGGAAGGUUUUAGAGGUGCCCAAGAGCCCUCGGAUCAAAGGGGCAUCCAUCGGAGGGCCAAGGAUGAUUGUCUCGACUCAUAUAAGGAGAGGAAAAACCUGAUUUCUCGAGAGCCACCAAGAGCUACGAGAUUUUCUCUUCCAUCGCAGCCGCCUUGGGGUGGAAAACCACCUCCGUACCAGUACCAUCUACAAGGAAGAAGGGGGGCCAAGGGCCGUGGCCGCUGUCGGCCGUCGUCUCCUCUCCGGGUUGCACCUCUCCAUCAACCUCUUGCUCACCAUGGCCAUGUGUGAGUAGUCUCCCUCGGGGCUGAGGUCUUCUGCGUGUAGCUAUGUGGUCAUCUCUCUCUCCCAUGAUGUGAUCUUGAUUGUGAUCAUAGGCUAUGUUAAUCUAGGGUGAUCCCAUGAUGUUUCCCCUUCUUCUAUGUAUUAGAUUGGUGUACUUACUUGAUCUUAUCUAGUAUAAUCCCCGAAACCAUGGAGAUAGCGGUCUAUUGGACAUGCAUUGUAAGAAUAUUUUCAUGAGUUAUUUCCUCUUUUGUGAAUUGAUUGAAGAUUGAGAGUCUCUUGGUGAUUAUCUUUGACUAUCCUUGAGAUAUGUUGUGGUGAUUGUGGUACUCUCUUUGGAUGGCCAUAGUGACAUUGGGAAAUCCAUAGAUGAGAACUACGAACUCUGAGGUCUGCAUUGGGAAAUCCAUAGAUGGUCCUCUCUUGAUCACAAAGGAAUGACCUCCAAGUACAUCUCCAUUGCAUGUUUUAGUGGAAAUAUCAUGUGAUUAGACUAUGUUAAUGUUGUUGGGAGUUGCCACUAGUGAAAGUAUGAAGCCUAGGCCUUGUUUUCCACCAUUGAACACCGUUUACUUUUAGUUUUGUUUCACGUUUGCUUGCUGUCAUUUUUAUUUCAGAUUUACAAUACCUUGUUUUACCAUCCAUAUCACUUGCCUUUUAACAUCUCUUCGCCGAACUAGUGCACCUAUACAACUGACAAUUGUAUUAGGUGUGUUGGGGACACAAGAGACUUCUUGUAUCUUAAUUGCAGGGUUGCUUGAGAGAAACCAUCUUCAAUCUCUAGUUCCCUGAGUUCGAUAAACCUUAGGUCAUCCACUAGAGGGAAAUUGUUGUUGUCCUACAAACCUCUGCGCUUGGAGGCCCAACAUUGUCUACAAGAAUAGAAGCGUGCGUAGACAUCAAGCUAUUUCUGGCGCCGUUGCCGGGGAGGUGAGUGCUUGAAGGUAUAUCUUUAGAUCUUGCAAUUAAAUCUUUUCGUUUCUUGUUUUUAUUUUCACUAGUUAGGCUUAAUGGAAAACAACAAAAACAUGAGAGAGCUUUAUAAACUUUACCUCGAACUAGGACAUGAAGUGUUUGAUGAGAAAAUUAAAAAACCUAUGGAACUUCAUUAUUUUGCAUAAAAAUUAUGAUGGUGUCAAUGUUAUUAGUAUGCUUCCUUUGAAUAUCAAUAUUUAUAACGACAUGGAAAGCUCUAAGCUUGGGGAUGACGGGUUUGAUGAACAUGAUAUUUUUAGUCCCCCAACUUUUGAGGAGAAAAAUUGGUUUGAUGAUACUAUGCUUCCUAUAUAUGAUGAUGAUGAAUGUGAGCUUGUUAGUCCUCCUACUAUAGAGGAUAAAAAAUUUAUUAUGAUUUUGAUAUGCCUCCUAGAAAUGAUGAUUACCAUGAUGAUAAUGAUUGAUUUACUCUCACUAUUCCUAAUAAGAAAGAUUUUGCUUAUAAGAAGAGUAAUGGUACUUUUAUGCUUUUGGAUCAUGGAAGUAAUGCCUUAUGUGAUCAUUAUAUUGUUGAGUUUAUUCAUGAUCCCAGUGAAAAUUAUUAUGAGAAGGGAACAUAUGCUUAUAGAUAUUCCAAUAAUAUCAAGUUCCCUCUCUUUAUGUUGAAGGUUUUGAAGCUGCACUUAUUUUUCCUUCCUACGCUUAUUGCUUUGUGCUUCAAUGAAUUAUUCUAUUGCAACAUUCAUAUGCAUAGCAAGCAUGUUAGACUUAAAUGUGUUAGGUAUUUGCUUCUUGAUGCUCUCUUUUGUUCUACAACUCUUAUUCCUAUGAGAGCAUCAUUAAAAUCUUAAGCCCAUCUUUAUGGAUGUAAAGAAAGAGCUCUAGGGAGACAACCCUUGUUAUCCUUACUUUGAGUUUUUACUUUCAGUUUUUAGUGGUCUUGAUGUGUGUUACUACUGUAGAAACAUCAUUGUAUCUUUAUUUUUAAGCUUUGUGCCAAGUUUUAGCCUCCGAUUGCAAGAAAGUUCAAAAGUUGUGACAUGUUGUCCAGAAACAAAUUAUGUCUGCUUGACGGAACAAUUCACCAAAAAUCACCAGAUAAUCUUUUUCAUCUGAAUUGUUUUGACAAUAUGCCCUAUAGAAUUGGCUUUCUGGCUUCUGUUAUGAGUUUUUUUAUUUGAGUUGCAGAACUGCCCUUAAGAAAUUAUUUACUACCUGCUUGUUUGUUUUUCACACAUUCUGCCACGUUUUGCGUUUUCAUCGUUUUGCAAAUCUUAAGCUUGAUUUUUCUUUGCAAAAACUUUUUGGAAAUUUUGAGAAACAGUAGCUCAUCAUGAAAAUAUUUAUUUCCAGUGGAGAAAAAAUAUUUCAUUAUAGGUACUAACCACUCUAUUCAGCUUUUGAUGAGUUUCAUAUGAAGGGAGUUUUCAAGUAUGCGAUGGAAGAUGAUGAAAGAAGAUCUAGGAUUGUCAAGCGCUCAAGCUUGGUGACGCCCCCAUGCACCCCCAAGAAAUAUUCAAGUAAACUCAAGCGUCUAAGCUUGGGGAUGCCCCCGUGCAUUCCCUUCUCCAUCAACAAUCAUCAGUUCGUCCUUCUCCAUACUAUAUUUUUAUCACUUCAUAUGUUAUGUGCUAUGCUUGGAGCGUCCCGCUCUUUACUUUUUAGUUUGUUUUAGUUUUGCUUGUUGGUCAUAAAUAAGUUACAUCCUAUCAUUCUUAUUUGGGAGAGAGACAUGCUCUGUUUUAAUUGCUUAGAACAUUCUGGUUUUCACUCUUAUUGUUCUGUGAGUGUUCACUUUUUGCUAGUAUUGCGUUUAGCUCUUGUUUUCCACUCAUAUUUUGUUUAGAGCUUGUUGGUUUGCUUCAGUUAUAUAUGAUUAUCUCUCUGGUAUUUAAUUAAUAUUAUCUGUGAGAGUUGUUUCAAGAAAGUUUAUUGGUGUUGGAGAAGAGUAAAAUAUGUCAUGCUUAUAAUGGUGCAAUAGGAAGCUUGUUUAAACUGUGGCUUAGACUUUAACAUGUCAUGUUAGAUAUUAUCUUAAUUAUAUGCUUAGUAGUUAUUGAUGUAUCAUGACUUGUCUCAAAUAAAUGAGAGUGCUUAAUGUACCAUUGAAAGAAUCAUGUGUUGUUUGUAUCAUAUCGAAGCAUAAUAUUGUGGUAUUCUCCUUACUGCUUCAUUUGGAUUGACUUGGCGCAUGCUCACAUCAUGUUAUGACUACAAACCAGUAACUUAUAGCCUCUAUGAUCAUUUAGUUUUUGACUUGUAAUAUUAUUUAUGCUUUUAUUAAUAAUGUUUUGUCAUUAUGAAUGAUUAUGGUCGUUAUUGCUCUCUUAGUUGGUUGCUCCCACUCUCUUGCUAGCCUCCACCUGUAUUGAGUAUGAGCUCUACUCGUGCAUCCAACUCCCAAAAAAACAAAGUUUGCCAAAUGUGUCCACCAUACUUAUACGUCUCAAACGUAUCUAUAAUUUUUGAUGGUUUCGCGUUGUUAUCUUGUCAACUUUGGAUGUUUUGUUUACCUUUUAUAUCUUUUUUGGGACAAACUUAUUAAUCCAGUGCCAAGUGCCAGUUCCUGUUUUUUCUGUGUUUUUGACUCUUUUCAGAUCUGAUUUUAGAACGGAGUCCAAACGGAAUAAAAUCCCCGAAAUAUUUUUUUCCAGAAAGGAAGAAGAUUGGGAGGCUUGAGGGCCAAGGCAGGGGGCCCACAAGGAGCCCACAAGCCCUGUUGCCGCGGCCAGGGGGCCGCAGCAACCAGGCUUGUGGCCUCCCUGGCGCUCCCCUGCCCUAGCUCUUUGGCCUAUAAAUUCCCUAAAAUCCCAAAAAUAUCAAGGCAUCCACGAAAACACUUUUCCGCCGCCGCAAGCUUCCGUUUCCAGGAGAUCUCAUCUGGAGACCCUUCCCAGUGCCCUACCGGAGGGGACUUUGGAGUUGGAGGGCUUCUACAUCAACAUCAUCGCCUCUCCAAUGACUCGUGAGUAGUCCACUUCAGACCUACGGGUCUGUAGUUAGUAGCUAGAUGGCUUCUUCUCUCUCUUGAAUCUUCAAUACAAAGUUCUCCAUGAUCUUCACGGAGAUCUAUCCAAUGUAAUCCUCUUUGGCGGCGUGUUUGUCGGGAUCCGAUGAAUUGUGGAUUUGUGAUCAGAUUAUCUAUGAUUUAUAUUUGAGUCUUUGCUGAUUUCUUAUAUGCAUGAUUUGAUAUCCUUGUAAGUCUCUCCGAAUCUUGGGUUUUGUUUGGCCAACUAGAUCUAUGAUUUUUGCAAUGGGACAAGUGCUUGGUUUUGGGUUCAUACCGUGUGGUGACCUUUCCUAGUGACAGAAGGGGCAGCAAGGCACACAUCAUGUUGUUGCCAUCAAGGGUCACAAGAUGGGCUUUUAUCGUAGAUAUGAGAUUGUCCAUCUACAUCAUGUCAUCUUGCUUAAGGCGUUACUCUGUUCUUAUGAACUUAAUACACUAGAUGCACGCUGGAUAGAGGUCGACGUGUGGAGUAAUAGUAGUAGAUGCAGAAAGUAUCGGUCUACUUGUUUUGGACAUGAUGCCUAUAGAUAUAAUUAUUGCCAUAGAUGACGUCACGACUUUGCGCGGUUCUAUCAAUUGCUCGACAGUAAUUCGUUCACCCACUGUCUAGUUUCUUUCAUGAGAGAAGCCACUAGUGAACACUACGGCCCCCGGGUCUAUUCACAACUAUCGUCUCCACUUUCGCUUUUACUUUGCUUUGUUUACUUUUGCUUUCAGCUCUCACUUUGCAAACAAUCUAUAAGGGAUUGACAACCCCUUCAUAGCGUUGGGUGCAAGCUCUUUGUGUUUGUGCAGGUACUUGUGACUUGAACGCUCCUCCUACUGGAUUGAUACCUUGGUUCUCAAAACUGAGGGAAAUACUUACCGCCACUGUGCUACAUCACCCUUUCCUCUUCAAGGGAACACCAACGCAAGGCUCCAAGGCCGCGGGGAAAUCCUUUGCAUAUUUUCCAAGGAAGUCCCUAUAGGCGUAGCCGUAGCAGCAGGAUUCCUGGCGCCGUUGCCAGGGAAGGUUAGUUGUUGCAGUAGCAGAAGGAUUUCUGGCGCCGUUGCCGGGGAGGAGAGAUCAAGUCAAGAUCUAUCCAAGUAGGUGUCACAAACUCAUCUCUUGCAUUUACCUUUUUUCGCCAGUUGCCUCUCAUUUACCUCUCCCCCACUUCACAUUUGUCGUUUUCAUUUGCCUUUCUCCUUUGUCGUUUCCUUUUGCCUUUUUGUCGUUUUCCUUUGCCGUUUUCUUUCGCCCUUUGCCGUCUUCCUUUGCCGGUUUUCUUACUUGCUUUCUGUUCGCUUGUGUGCCAUGUACCUUCAAUAUGCUUGCAUCUUUGCUUGCUGAAAAUCUAGUGAUAUGGAUCCUCAUCCACUUGCUAAUCUCUUUAAGAGAUACAAUUAUGUUGAUCCAAUUGCUAGUGAGUUGAGUGCACUCGACUAUCUUUAUGGAGUUUUGCUUGAGAUGCGUGAACCUAAAAGUUGUGAGGAAGAAAUUUAUGAAGUGAUUCACGAGGGCUCCUUGGAUGAAAAGCAUGAUUGCAAUGGUUUCACUAUAAAUCCUAUUAGUGAGAAUCAUGCUAAAAAUAUGCAAAACUCUAAGCUUGGGGAUGCUAGUUUUGCUAUGUGCCCUACUUGUUGCAAUAAUCAUGAUUGGGGCGAUGAUCUUUCUUAUGAUCUUGAAAAUUUGUUCAAGCCUCAUAAUGAUUAUGAUAUUUGCAAUAAUAUUAAAAGUGGGUUUGGAGAAGUCAUGACUUUAGUUGAUGAUAAUCCAGCUGUUUUUUAAGAGCGUCAACUUUACAUGCAUGUGGAUCAUGAAAAGAAUAUCCUAUGUGAUAGUUACAUUGUUGAAUUCGAAUAUGAUCCCACAUGUAAUUGCUAUGAGAGAGGAAAAUAUUUUGGUAGAAACAUUCAUGUUACCAAAUUACCUCUCGUUAUGUGGAGAUUGCUAUUGUCUCUUUCUUCUUCCUCGCAUAUGGCAACUAUUGGUUGUCUUGACAAUCUGUUUUCCUAUAAAAUGCCUAUGCAUAGGAAGUAUGUUAGACUUAGAUGUGGUUUUCACAUGCUUUAGGAUGCUCUCGUUGUGCUUCAAUUCUUGUCUUUUGUGAGAGCAUCAUUGAAUGCGUAGCUAAGGGCGUUAAACAAUAGCCCUUGUUGGGAGGCAACCCAACGAUUCUAUCCUUUUUAUUUCUGUUUUGUGUUUUCCACACUUUCAUAAUUCUGUUAUGAUUGUGUUUUUUGUGUUUCUUUUUGCGUUUGUGCCAAGUGAAACCGUUAUGAUUAGUCUUGGGGAUGAUUGUUUGGUCAUGCUGGAAAAGACAGAAACUUUCUGCUCACGAAAAGAAUUUUCAUUUUUGUUCUGUUAGAGCUUUUGCGUUUAUUCUUUUUGCUGCUGAUUGCUACACACAUUCUUCAGAGUGUCGUAAUUUGUAAGAAUUUUCGAAGUACAAGAAGUAUAUGAAGUAUACAAAUUGCUACAGACUGGUCUGCUGUUAACAGAUUCUAUUUUUGUUGAGUUGGUUGCUUAUUUUGAUGAAACUAUGGAUAGUAUCGGGGGUACUAGCCAUGUAAGAUAGAAAAUACAGUAACCCAACAUCAACAUAAGUAGAAUUUAAGUUUUCUACAGUACAUAAGGAAGUGGUGGUUUGCUUUCUUAUACUAAUGUUAUCAUGAGUUUCUGUUUAAGUUUCGUGUUGUGAAGUUUUCAAGUUUUGGGUGAAGUUCUUAUGGACAAAAAGAUAAAGAGUGGCAAGAGCUCAAGCUUGGGGAUGCCCAAGGCACCCCAAGUUGAUUCAAGGAUGUCGUAAAAUCCUAAGCUUGGGGAUGCCCCGGGAAGGCAUCCCCUCUUUCGUCUUCAAUCCAUCGGUAACGUUACUUGGGGCUAUAUUUUUAUUAACCACAUGUUAUGUGUUUUGCUUGGAGCGUCUUGUAUCGUAGGAGUCUUUUAUUUUUGUUGUGUCACAAUCAUCAUUGCUGCACACCUAGAGAGAGAGAUACAUGCACUCAUCGUGAUUUUGUCGAGCUUCACUUAUAUCCUUUGGUUAGACAAUUCAGCUCACAUGUGCUUCACUUAUAUCUUUUGAGCUAGUUGAUUUUGCUCUAUGUGCUUCACUUAUAUCUUUUAGAGCACAGCGGUGCAUGGCUUGGUAGUUUAUCUAUGCUUUGAUAGUAGUCUCAAAAGGGGUAGUUAUCCAAAGGGAUAUGAAAACUUCCACCUUCAUGUGCAUUGAAUAGUUAGAGAAGUUUGAUUCAUCUCAAUUAGUUUUCAGUUGUGGUUGUGGUAAUAUUGAAGUUAUAUUAGUAAGGUGUUCUGGAUCUAGAAAUACUUGUGUUGAAGUUAGUGAUUCCCGUAGCAUGCACGUAUGGUGAACCGCUAUGUGGUGAAGUCUGAGCAUGAUUAGUCUAUCGAUUGUCAUCCUUUGUGUGACGGUCGGGAUCGCACGAUGGUUUAUACCUACCAACCCUUCCCCUAGGAGUAUGCGUUGAAUGCUUUGUUUUGAUUACUACUAAAACUUUUGCAACAAGUAUAUGAGUUAUUCAUGACUAAUGUUGAGUCCAUGGUUUAGAUGCACUUUCACCCUCCACCAUCACUAUCUUCUUUAGUGUCGUGCAACUUUCGCCGGUGCACAAAACCACCCAUAUAGCCUCCCUCAAAACAGCCACCAUACCUACCUACUAUGGCUUUUUCAAAGCUAUUCCGAGAUACAUUGCCGUACGACUACCACCAUGACAUGUGCCACCACUUCUAAAUUGCCAUUGCAUGAUCAUAAGAUAGCUAGCAUGAUGUUUCCAUUGAUGUCUAUGCCAUGCUAGAUCAUUGUCACGGUACACUACCGAAGGCAUUCCAUAUAGAGUCAUCAUUGCUCUAAGUUUUGAGUUGUAAGUGUGAUGAUCAUCAUUGAGGGAGCAUUGUCCCAUGUGAGGAAAUAAAAGAGGCCAAAGAUGCCCACAAAAAUAAAAAAAAUAAAAAAAGAGGCCAAAGAUCCCACCAAAAAAAUGAGAGAAAAAGAGAGAAGGGACAAUGCUACCACCUUUCCACACUUGUGCAUAUUAAGCACCAUGAUCUUCAUGAUUCAGAGUCUCUCGUUUUGUCACCACCAUAUAGCUAGUGGGAAAUUUUCAUUAUAUAACUUGGCUUGUAUAUUCCAAUGAUAGGCUUCCUCAAAAUUGCCUUAGGUCUUCGUGAGCAAGCAAGUUGGAUGCACACCCACUAGUUUUCUUUAAGAGCUUUCACAUACUCUUAGCUCUAGUGCAUCAAUUGUAUGGCAAUCCCUACUCAUUCACGUUGAUAUAUAUUGAUGAGCAUCUCCAUAGCUCAUUGAUAUGCCUAGUCAAUGUGACCAUCUUCUCCUUGUUUGUCUUGCAACCUCGACCACACUCCACUCCACUUAUAGUGCUGAAUACAUGGCUCACGCUCAUGUAUUGCGUGAGAGUUAAAAAAGUUUGAGAAAGUAAAGGCGUGAAAACAAUUACUUGGCCAAUACGGAGGUUGUGCAUGAUUUAAAUUCGUUGUGCAAGGAUGAUAGGGCAUAGCCACACUAUAUGAUUUUGUAGGGAUAACUUUCUUUUGGCCUAGUUAUUUUGAAAGUUCAUGAUUACCUUGCUAGUUUGCUUGAAGUAUUAUUGUCUCCACAUCAAUAGCAAACUAUUGUUUUAUAUCUAAUGGAUCUGAACAUUCACGUCACAUAAGAGGAGUUACAAAGGACAUAUAUGCUAGGUAGCAUGAAAGCAUCAAAAAUUCAUUCUUUAUCACUUCCCUACUCGAGAACGAGCAGGAGUUAAGCUUGGGGAUGCUUGAUACGUCUCAAACGUAUCUAUAAUUUUUGAUGGUUUCACGCUGUUAUCUUGUCAAUUUUGGAUGUUUUGUUUACCUUUUAUAUCUUUUUUGGGACUAACUUAUUAAUCCAGUGCCAAGUGCCAGUUCCUGUUUUUUCUGUGAUUUUUACUCUUUUCAGAUCUGAUUUUGGAACGGAGUCCAAACGCAAUAAAAUCCCCGAAAUAUUUUUUUCUAGAAUGGAAGAAGAUCGGGAAGCUUGAGGGCCAAGGCAGGGGGCCCACAGGGAGCCCACAAGCCCUGUUACCGCGCCCAGGGGGGCCCGCGGCAACCAGGCUUGUGGCCUCCCUGGCGCUCCCCUGCCCUAGCUCUUUGGCCUAUAAAUUCCCUAAAAUCCCAGAAAAAAUCAGGGCAUUCACGAAAACACUUUUCCGCCGCCGCAAGCUUCCGUUUCCGCGAGAUCUCAUCUGGUGACCCUUCCCUGUGCCCUGCCGGAGGGGACUUUGGAGUUGGAGGGCAUCUACAUCAACAUCAUCGCCUCUCCAAUGACUCGUGAGUAGUCCACUUCAGACCUACGGGGCCGUAGUUAGUAGCUAGAUGGCUUCUUCUCUCUCUUGGAUCUUCAAUACAAAGUUCUCCAUGAUCUUCAUGGAGAUCUAUCUGAUGUAAUCCUCUUUGGCGGUGUGUUUGUCGAGAUCCGAUGAAUUGUGGAUUUGUGAUCAGAUUAUCUAUGAUUUAUAUUUGAGUCUUUGCAGAUUUCUUAUAUGCAUGAUUUGAUAUCCCUGUAAGUCUCUCCGAGUCUUGGGUUUUGUUUGGCCAACUAGAUCUAUGAUUCUUGCAAUGGGAGAAGUGCUUGGUUUUUGGUUCAUACAGUGUGGUGACCUUUCCCAGUGACAGAAGGGGCGGCAAGGCACGCAUCGUGUUGUUGCCUUCAAGGGUAACAAGAUGGGCUUUUAUCGUAGAUAUGAGAUUGUCCAUCUACAUCAUGUCAUCUUGCUUAAGGCGUUACUCUGUUCUUAUGAACUUAAUACACUAGAUGCACGCUGGAUAGAGGUCGACGUGUGGAGUAAUAGUAGUAGAUGCAGAAAGUAUCGGUCUACUUGUUUUGGACAUGAUGCCUAUAGAUAUAAUUAUUGCCAUAGAUGACGUCACGACUUUGCGCGGUUCUAUCAAUUGCUCGACAGUAAUUCGUUCACCCACUGUCUAGUUUCUUUCAUGAGAGAAGCCACUAGUGAACACUACGGCCCCCGGGUCUAUUCACAACUAUCGUCUCCACUUUCGCUUUUACUUUGCUUUGUUUACUUUUUUCUUUCAGUUCUCACUUUGCAAACAAUCUAUAAGGGAUUGACAACCCCUUCACAGCGUUGGGUGCAAGCUCUUUGUGUUUGUGCAGGUACUUGUGACUUGAACGCUCCUCCUACUGGAUUGAUACCUUGGUUCUCAAAACUGAGGGAAAUACUUACCGCCACUGUGCUACAUCACCCUUUCCUCUUCAAGGGAACACCAACGCAAGGCUCCAAGGCCGCGGGGAAAUCCUUUGCAUAUUUUCCAAGGAAGUCCCUAUAGGCGUAGCCGUAGCAGCAGGAUUCCUGGCGCCGUUGCCAGGGAAGGUUUGUUGUCGCAGUAGCAGAAGGAUUUCUGGCACCGUUGCCGGGGAGGAGAGAUCAAGUCAAGAUCUAUCUGGAUUGAUACCUUGGUUCUCAAAACUGAGGGAAAUACUUACCGCCGCUGUGCUACAUCACCCUUUCCUCUUCAAGGGAACACCAACGCAAGGCUCUCCUUUGCAUAUUUGCCAAGGAAGUCCCUAUAGGCGUAGCCGUAGCAGCAGGAUUCCUGGCGCCGUUGCCAGGGAAGGUUUGUUGUCGCAGUAGCAGAAGGAUUUCUGGCACCGUUGCCGGGGAGGAGAGAUCAAGUCAAGAUCUAUACAAGUAGGUGUCACAAACUCAUCUCUUGCAUUUACCUUUUUCUGCCAGUUGCCUCUCAUUUUCCUCUCCCCCACUUCACAUUUGCCGUUUUCAUUUGCCUUUCUCCUUUGCCGUUUCCUUUUGCCUUUUUGUCGUUUUCCUUUGCCGUUUUCUUUCGCCCUUUGCCGUUUUCCUUUGCCGGUUUUCUUGCUUGCUUUCUGUUCGCUUGUGUGCCAUGUGUGUGACAUCCUCGACUUUUGCAACAGUAAUUAUUGUAAUUAAGCUACAGUAUCAACCGCUAAUGAUGCCACGUCAUCGAAUUCCCAUCUCAGACCCGUGUUGAUUCGAGUCUGUCCGGAUCCAAAAUUUGAAAGCAAAAGAAAAAGUACUUUAUAAGUUCAUUACAAAUAUAAAAAGAAUAUGUAUAUGAAAGAGAGAUUUAGAAGUAUGUAUAAUAAAUUGAAAAAGAAAGUAUAAUAAAAGAAAUUAUUUAAAAAGAAAAAUCAGUUAGUGAAAAGAAAUUAGAAAGAAAGAAAUAAUAAAAAAGGGAAAAGGCAAAAUAAAACAAAAUGAAACAAAAAGAAAAAAAAGAAAAAGCAACCCCCCCCCCGGCCCAGCUGGGCCACCCACAGGCCCAACCGGCCAAACCCUAGAGCCCCCUGGCGAGCAAUCCCACCCCCCUCGCUACUCCCUCCCCUCCUGAGNNNNNNNNNNNNNNNNNNNNNNNNNNNNNNNNNNNNNNNNNNNNNNNNNNNNNNNNNNNNNNNNNNNNNNNNNNNNNNNNNNNNNNNNNNNNNNNNNNNNNNNNNNNNNNNNNNNNNNNNNNNNNNNNNNNNNNNNNNNNNNNNNNNNNNNNNNNNNNNNNNNNNNNNNNNNNNNNNNNNNNNNNNNNNNNNNNNNNNNNNNNNNNNNNNNNNNNNNNNNNNNNNNNNNNNNNGGCGGCCUCUCCUCCUCCCGCCGGCAGCCCCCCCACGGCCUCAUCCUCCCGGCCGGCGAGCCCCUGCUCCUCCAACCGCCGGCCACCACUCCCCCUCCUCCGGCGGCGGGCUCCCUCCCACGACCUCAUCCCCCCGCCGGCCGAGGCCCCUGGUUCUCCCACCACGACACCACCCCCCCCCCUGGAGACCGACCCCGGGAGCCCCGCCGGCCGAGCCCCUCCAUGUCGGCGGCUCCAUCUCCGGGGGCCCCUCCUCACCGGGGCCCCUCUCGGCGAACCUCCGGCCGGCUCCUCCUCGCUUGCACGCCCGUCUUCACCGGAACCGCGUCACCGUCGUCACCUUCACCUUCGUGCGAACUCCGGCUUCAUCGGGCCGUCUCGUCACCGUCGGUGAGCCCCUCCUCGGGCUCCUCCCACCAUGUCGUUCUCCUCGUCGCCCCAGUUCCGUUCCGGCAAACGAGGCCUCGAUCCGUCGACGGUAGACGCCAGUAGGAAGGAUUGAAUAUUUGGUUCCUCUAGGUUGAGUUGGAGCAGAGAGAGUUCUGUGUCUCUCUGUUAACAGAGAGGGAGAUGAGAGUUUUGAGAGAAAAUAAAAAAACAAAUGAUGUAUUAGAUGCGUAUGUAUGUAUGUAUGUAUGAGAUGUGAUGUAUGUAUUUGCGUAUAUGGAUAUUUAGGGGAAUACGGUAUUUGCACGGUUAGGUAUCUAAUAAAAAAGAUGAGUAAAUGGCCUAGGGUCACUUACCGGUGGGGCCAAUGCACCCGCUGUCUAUGACAGGGAGGCCCCACGCGAGAGUUAAUAUAAAUUAUAAAAAUAAUGUUUUCAUUAAAUAAAUAAAUAAAUAGAUAUAACAAUUAAUUAAUGAGUUAAUGAAUUAGUUAAAUAAGUAUAUAAGUUAAUCUGUUAAUUAGAAUAAUUAAUUAACAUAAUUAGAGUAUGCCACGUGGGUCCCUCAUUAAAUUAAUCUGAUAAAUCAAUAAUUAAUCUUAAAUAAAACUUGUGCCUAUGACGUUCGGGACCCACUGGUCAGUUGACCAGUCAAAUGUUGAUGUCAGCAUGACAUCGCGAUGAUGUCAUAAUGGGAUUUUAUUAAAUCUUUUAAAUCUGUUUUUAAUUCCUAAAUAAUUAAUAAAACUUUGAAAAUUAAUAUAAAAUAAUCCGUAAGUCAGAUGAAAAUAUUUUCAACAUGAAAGUUGAUCAGCAAAACGAGACGAACCCGGAUACACGGUCCAUUCGUCUGUCACGCGUCCCUGGCAUAGCAAACAUGGAACUUUUCCAUCGUUUCCUGUAUAACCGGUAGUAGCCCGAGACCCGGAAAAUAUCGUCAGAUAUUCUUCCGACCCGUCUAUGACGGAUGUUGCUGCGUUAGCUCAUGUCUAGCCUGCAUCUUUCCAUGUCAUGCUUUGUGUUGCAUCGGUGCUAUUAUUUAUUGUUUCUUCCCCCUCUUCUUACCGGUAGACCCCGAGACUGACGCUGCUGCCGGGUACAUCUACGACCCUGUCGAUCAGUCCUUUGCCGCAGAGCAGCAAGGCAAGCAAACUCCCCUUGAUCAUUCCUAUAUCGCCUAUGUCUUUCUUCCUACUGCUUGCAUUAGUAUUUUUGCUACUGUUGUAGUUAGCUCCUAUAUCUGAUGCAUAGCCUAUUUUUGAUGAUCUGCUACUUUCAGUCAUGUACUUUAAAUAUGCUUAGUAUAGGUGGAGCAGUCAUCCCCUCUGACCCCGUAGAUCAGUUGCCCCGCUUGUUGUCACAUCUCGAUCUCUGAUCAACGAGCCAGACCCGACACAGCACGUUCACCCCCCCCCCUUCGUUGUACGACGCUACAGGGAUACUGUCGGGUACCAAGGGUGACACCUUGCUAAGUACUCCUGAUGAUAUCUCUGUAGUAUAGCUAGUCGGUCGUGGUUAUCGAGGGUGAUUCCUCUUUCACCAUUCCCGAUGACGCCUCUGUCGUGCAACCCCGCGAGUGUGGGACCCCCGAGGGUGAUUCCUCUAAGCCCACCUUGACAGGUACAUCGUUCGGAAUCCAACGAGGGUGAUACCUCGGGUUCCCCCGAUGUUACGACCACACAGUUACUCGAUCAUGUUACUGGGAUCAUUGGUGAUUAGUUGUAAGACGGGUGGAUUCCCGUGAGACUGUGUUGUUUGCCUAAUUAAAAUGCUAAUGGAUUUGGGUAUUUGAUCUGGGUUGGUCGGAGACCUUUUCGCACUAACCGGCUACGCGGGAAGAAUUAUGGGUACUCGGCGUCGCGGUAUCAGCCGAAGCUUUUCAUAUGCCAGCAAUGUAGCGGCGCGCGCCCGAGUGGUCCCGAGAUGCAUCGGGCUUGUGAUUAAGGGAUGCUAGGACUGACGUCGGCCGCCCACGCCACGUGCAGGAGCGUGAAGGGGAACUGGGCCCACGAACCCUUUGUGCUUAGGAUUUAGACCGGCGGGCUGGCCUCUCUGAUUAGUCUUAGGUGGGGCUGCGACGUGUCGAUAUUCCGAGGCCGGGCAGGACCCAGAAAAGUAUGUCCGGCCAGAGUGUUAUCGAGCGUGACGGGACAUGUGGUGCACCCCUGCAGGGAUGAAAAUUAACUAUUCGGAUAGCCGUGUCCACGGUUACAGGACGACUUGGAGUUGUGCCCCGAUCUUUUACAACUACAAUUGUUACUUAACUGGAAUUAGUUUGCCUCGGGAUUGCUUCCUCGCAGGGAGUCGAGGGAGGAUCUUUAGGCGUGACCUCACUUUAAUAUUGCUGCAACAAUAUGAUUAUUUUUGUGUUACCCCUGUUCUACUCUCGUCUAUUGCUGCAAGACCCUGAAGAUGCUAGUCUUCGAUAGGACUAGGCCUUCUCUCUCUAUUCUCGCAUUGCUGCAGUCAGUCCACAUAUAACCCCCCCCCCUUCUUUGAUACUGAUGCAUAAUUAGAAUAGUUCUGAUGUAAGACUUGCGAGUACUUUGGAUGAGUACUCACCGCUGCUUUGCUCCCCCCUUGUUCCCUUGAUCCGUUUGCUGCGACCAGGUGAUGGAGCCCAGGAGAUGGAGGUCCCCGCGCCCGACGACUGCUACCCCGACGGUGCCUACUACUACGUGGAGGCCGCUGAUGAUUAGGAGUAGUUAGGAGGUUCCCACGCAGGAGGCCUCGCCUCGUUCGAUCGUUGUAUCUUUUGUGCUAGCCUUCUCUAAGGCACCCCAUGUUUUAUGUCUGUACUCAGAUAUUUGUUGCUUCCGCUGACUCGUGUGUUUAUCGAGCUUUCGUAUUCUAGCCCUCGAGGCCCCUGGCUUGUAAUAUGAAGCUGAUGUUAUUUUAUUUGUGUCUAGAGUUGUGUUGUGAUAUCUUCCCGUGAGUCCUUGGGUUUGAUCGUACGCAUUUGCGUGUAUGUUUAGCGUACGAUUAAGCCGAGGGCGUCACAAUGUGCCUUCAAUAUGCUUGCAUCUUCGCUUGUUGAAAAUCUAGUGAUAUGGAUCCUCAUCCACUUGCUAAUCUCUUUAAGAGAUCCAAUUAUGUUGAUCCAAUUGCUAGUGAGUUGAGUGCACUCGACUAUCUUCAUGGAGUUUUGCUUGAGAUGCGUGAGUCUAAAAAUUGUGAGGAAGAAAUUUAUGAAGUGAUUCACGAGGGCUCCUUGGAUGAAAAGCACGAGGUUUGCAUGUCUAAUAUACGAACCCCUAAUACGAGGAGGGACUCGCAUGAGUGCGCCCAGAUCGUAAAAGAUAAUAGCAACGAACAAAACUUCCUUCACGCUUUGUUCAUGAGAAAUCAGAAUAGUGAUAAACAAAGGAGACUAAGGGGAUGUGAUCGUCCCCACUUUGGGAGCCGUUCCUCAAAACUUGUCCAACAUGAGAAGUAUUGGGUUAUCUGUUAGCAUUCGUUGACGAAUUAUGCACCUCCCAAAAGCUUGUUUUACAAUCUUAUUGAUUUCAAAAAUCUCUAAAAGCUCUAGCACAUGAGUAAUCCCUGCUUCCCUCUACAAAGGGCCUUUCUUUUACUUUUAUGUUGAGUCUUCAUCUUCUAACUUUAUGCACCAAUUAAGAGAGCAUAGUUGUCAUUCUAAGUAUAAUGUGCAUAGUCCCAAAAUUUAUUAUUGAUUAAUUCACGGUUAUGUUAUUACUUGUUCUCAAAUUAUUUGUAUCUAGUCACCACUUGAACUUCGAAGGUGUACUCGCAUUUAUGUUUUGCCCCACUCUUAAGGACAAGCGAAAUACCACAUUGCUAUGUUUCUUUAUGCUCGAAACAAACGUAUAACUUUCAGGUGCAUUAUUAUUGAUGAUCUUUUGUUUGUGUUACUUUUCAAGUUGCAACAUGGUUGCUAAGUUUCAUUGUUAGAAUUAUAUCUAUCAUGCUUAUGUUUAGAGUGCUAUGAUCUCAGCUUACAAAUAAUUUUACAAAUAUGAUUAUCAAGAUUAUGUUGGUAGCAUGUCACCUCAAAAAUUAUUUUGUUUUUAUCGUUUCACCUACUCGAGGACGAGUAGGAACUAAGCUUGGCGAUGUUGAUACGUCUAAAACGUAUCUAUAAUUUUUAAUGAUUUCAUGCUACUUUAUGCUUUUGAUAAUUGUUUUUAUAUUAAGUUUAUGAUUUAUUUGGACUAACCUACUAAUAUUUGCAAAAUUUCACAAUGUUCUUGUUUUACACUUUGAUGUGUAGGAACUAUCAAAAAUAGAAGAGGAAACCUUGUUGGAGUGGGACUUUGACUAUCCUGAAAUCUGCCCCCCCCCCUACAGAUUUUAGAGGUCAUAUGUUUCCGCCUCGAAUAUGAUGUCAAAUGGAAACAUAAUACAUGUGAAAGUUGUGGGGAAUUUUAUGCUGAUAAUUCUAGACAUAUAAUUCGGCCCAUUUGGAGUUCGGACACUCCAGGAAAUCCCGUUUUACUGGAGGACAAAUAUCUGAUUAUAGGAUUACGGGAAUCGGUGACGUGAUUGAGUCCAACUCUUAUCAUAUUAGAUGGAUUCGCCCAAGCCACGACUUGGGGACCUCAUUAGGGAUCAGAGGGGUUCCUAGGAUGGUUCUAGAGGUGCCCAAGAGCCCUCGUAUCAAAGGGGCAUCCAUCGGAAGGCCAAGGAUGAUUGUCCCGACUCAUAUAAGGAGAGGAAAACCUGAUUUAUGGAGAGACACCAAGAGCUACGAGAUUUCCUCCUCCGAGGCAGCUGCCUUGGGGUGGAAAACCACCUCCAUACCAGCACCAUCUCCAAGGAACAAGGGGGGCCAAGGGCCGCCGCCCCCAAGGGCCGUGGCCGCCACCGUGGCCGUCGUCGGUCGCAGUCUCCUCUCCGGGUUGCACCUCUCCAUCAACCUUUUGCUCACCAUGGCCAUGUGUGAGUAGUCUCCCUCGGGGCUAAGGUCUUGUACAUGUAGCUAUGUGGUCAUAUCUCUCUUCCAUGAUGUGAUCUUGAUUGUGAUCAUAGGCUAUGCUAAUCUAGGGUGAUCCCAUGAUGUUUCCCCUUCUUCUAUGUAUUAGAUUGAUGUACUUACUUGAUCUUAUCUAGUAUAAUCCCCGAUACCAUGGUGAUAGCGGUCUAUUGGACAUGGAUUAGAAGAAUAUUUUCAUGAGUGAUUUCCUAUUUUGUGAAUUGAUUGAAGAUUGAGAGUAUCUUGGUGCUUGUCUUUGACUAUCCUUGAGAUAUGUUGUCGUGAUUGUGGUACUCUCUUUGGAGGGCCGCGGUGACAUUGGGAAAUCCAUAGAUGAGAACUACGAACUCUGAUGUGUGCUUUUGUAGCCCUACAUAAUUCUCGUCCUCUCUUGAUCACAAAGGAAUGACCUCCAAGUACGUCUCCAUUGCUUGUUUUAGUGGAAAUAUCAUGUGAUUAGACUAUGUUAAUGUUGUUGGGAGUUGCCACUAGUGAAAGUAUGAAGCCUAGGCCUUGUUUUCCACCAUUGAACACCGUUUACUUUCAGUUUUGUUUCAUGUUUUCUUGCUGCCAUUUUUAUUUCAGAUUUACAAUACCUUGUUUUACCAUCCAUAUCGCUUGUCUUUUAACAUCUCUUCGCCGAACUAGUGCACCUAUACAAUUUACCAUUGUAUUAGGUGUGUUGGGGACACAAGAGACUUCUUAUAUCUUAAUUGCAGGGUUGCUUGAGAAAGACCAUCUUCAACCUCUACUUCCCUGAGUUCGAUAAACCUUAGAUCAUCCACUUGAGAGAAAUUGCUGCUAUCCUACAAACCUCUGCACUUGGAGGCCCAACAUAGUCUACAAGAACAGAAGCGUGUGUAGACAUCAUCUCUCGAGGGCGUUGUUUCACGUGCCGCAGGUCGUUGACAGAAAGGGGGUGAUCAUGCGUGACCUUGAAGUUGGCGAUAAACUGCUUGCAGAGCUCGCUCCACGAUGAGAUUGACUCCUGGAUAGGUUCAUGAGCCAGGAGCGUGCGCCAUCUUCGAGGGCCAUGGGGAACCAGUUCCCCAUGACUUUGUCGUUGUCGCUCGUCGCCUCGAUGCUUAGUGCAUAGAGCUGGAGGAACUCUAUGGGGUCGGGGAUGCCAUCGUACCGCGGGGGGCAGCUCAAGCUUGAACUUGAGGGGCCAAAUGACCCGGCGUAGCUCGUGAUUGAAGGCCCGGCAGCCCACGCUGCUCGAAGGGACACCACACGGAAGGACGGCCCGGUUCUAGCACCCAUCCGCCACGACAUCCUGGAUGAUCCGGUCUUGACGCUGACGUUGUUGCUUGAGUAUCAUGCACGCGUCGGGCGGCGCACGACAGAUGACCUGGCAGCUGGCCUCGUCUUCGGCAUGUGAAGUUGCCCUCCGAGGCUCGUUGCGAGGGCGCGCGUCCCACCGAGGCUCGACUAGGUCGUUGCGCAGGGUAGCUGGCGGAGGCGCGCCAUGCGCCAUGUCCCAAGAACGAGACCCUGGAGGGCGAAGCGAGCGAGAGGGUGCACGGGCUUCUCCGGUGGCGGUGACGAGCUCGAUGAUGUGGCCCAGCCAUGCGUUGUAACCACCGUCUGUCGGGUGGUAGCGAAGCAGGUCAUGCGCCAUGAGCAGCGUGGCCUGCACGUUCACGUGCCCUAGGCGGGCGUGGGAGGAGGAAGCCAUGGUGGUGCGGCCAUCCUGCUGCACGGAAGGGUGCAAGGAGGAGUCCUGCUGCUCUCAGGCAACACGGUUGGUGGCGGUGGCAGUCGCAGCGCCAACGGAGUGGUGGCGAUCAUUGUGACCAGCAGGCGCUGUCUGGGCGACGCGGGCCGCCCGACGCUCAGCACGCACACAGCGAGCGUCAGCCAUAGGGUUGGCAGAGCUAGAGCCGAAACAAAGCCAGUGAACAGUGGCACACCCUUACCUGGCGCACCAAAUGUCAUAAUCGGGGCUCCGGGGGCCCAAAGAAGUUCGAACUCUGGGGUGCAUUGUUCUCCCGCCCCGCUCUACCUCACAAACUCGCGGCGACACUCUAACAUGCUCGAACUAAGGAAGAAGAACAUUGGACAUGACAGUUUACCCAGGUUCGGACCACCUUGCAGUGCAAAAUCCUACUCUUUCUUGUAUGGAUUGCUUGAGGGUGAGCGAGAGUACAAAUGUGGGUUUUGGCUAGCUGCGGGUAAAUCCCCUUCUAUGGAGGCAGCCUGCCCUAUCUUAUACUGGCCCCGGUUCUCUGACCCCGAAGACACAAGGCGGGAAGGCUUGUCACAACGAUCAGUUUGAAGGGGGCAGGAUUGCAGCUUAUCUUCAUAAAAUUAGUCGUCGCGUGCAAAAGCCUCCUAUCAUGACGCGCUUGUGGGAUCGGGGAUGACCUCCGUCCUCGCGAGCCCCUAGCCUUGGUCUUCUUGCACCAAACGAAAAACCUUUGGAGAUUGCUUUGGGAACUGGCGAGCUGGCCGUGCUCCCUUAACAAAAAAUAGGAAAGCCUCCUCAUUCGUGUCUGCUCGCAUGGCUCCUGGUGUCGCUCGGCGCGACGUGCGACACCCACAUGACGAUGCAGGACCACGUGACCCCAUCGGGCCACCCUUGAUCAGUCCGCCCUGCGAGGGCCUCUGGGGUAGCCUCAGGAUGCGACCUCGCGAGGGGGGCUUCGUGUGGCUCCUAAUGCUGAUUGCUCACAUGCGCCUCAUGAGGCGGGGGCCCUCGCGAGAGUCUUGCCCCGUGAAGUCCAAUGGUGGACCGUGCUCCACACAUGGCAUGCAUUGCGUCUUGGGCCACAGGUAGAUGGGCCUGGGUACCCCCCAGUCCCAUGGGCCCAACAGUUUCACAUAAGCCUCGUUAUAUCUUCCGCAAAACAGCCACCAUACCUAGCUAUCAUGGCAUUUCCAUAGCCAUUCCGAGAUAUAUUGCCAUGCAACUUCCACCGUCACAUUAUAUGACUUUUGCUUCCCUUGUCAUAUUGCGCUGCAUGAUUGUAAGAUAGCUAGCAUGAUAUUUCCAUGGCUUGUCCGUUUUUUGCUAUGCUUGAUCAUUGCACAUCCUAGUACACUGCCACAGGCAUUCAUAUAGAUUCAUACUACAAUCUUCAUGUGGAGUUGUAAGUAAAUAAAAGUGUGAUGAUCAUCAUUAUUAGGGCACUGCCUGAGUGAGGAAAGGAUGAUGGAGACAAUGAUUCCACACAAGUCGGGAUGAGACUCCGAACGAAAAUAAAAAAAAGGAGAAAAGGAAAAAAAGAAAAAAAAGAAAAACAAGAAAUAAAGAAAUAAAUCAGAGAAAAGAGAGAAGGGACAAUGCUACUACCUCUUUUUCCACACAUGUGCCUCAAAGUGGCACCAUGUUCUUUGUAUAGAGAGUAUCUAGUUUUUUCACUUCCGUAUGCUAGUGGGAACUUUUCAAUAUAGAACUUGGCUUGUAUAUUUCGAUGACGGGCUUCCUCAAAUGCCUGAGGUCUUCAUGAGCAAGCAAGUUGGAUGCACACUCACUUAGCUUCAGUCGAGCUUUCAUACACUUAUAGCUCUAGUGCAUCCGUUGCAUGGCAGUCCAUACUCCUCUCAUUGAUAUCUAUUGAUGGGCAUCUCCAUACCCCAUUGAUACGCCUAGUAGAUGCAAGACUUUCUUCUCCACUUUCACCACUUAGAAACCUACCACCAUAUUCUAUUCCACCUUUAUGUUAUAUCCAUGGUCCACGCUCAUAUAUUGAGUGAGUAAUAUAAAGCUAAAGCGCGUUAAAGAGUAGAUCCAACUGCCUGACUUGACACCGUGGUGCUUAACAUUUGUAUUUAUUUGGUGAAGAUGGAGGCAUGCUAUACUUAUAUAAUAAAUGAAUAGGGGGUGAACAUUCUUCAAGGAUCGUAUAUUUUCAAACUUGAUGAUUGUGUUGCUUAUGUUUAUGAAUAUUACUAUGUUAAUGCUUAUUAAUUCAUCGGUUCUCAAUGAUCAAACCUGCAAUAGAUUACAUGUUGGGUAGCAUGUCACAUCAAAAAAUCUCUUUUUAUCAUUUACAUACUCGAGGAACAGCGGGAAUUAAGCUUGGGGAUGAUGAUACUUUUUUAUUACUCCAUGCUAUAAUAUUAUCAUUCUAGUAUACUUUUUGGCUGUUUAUAUACAAAUUAAUAUUAUUUUUGAGCACUAACCUGUUAACCCACUGCCCAAAGCCAGUUGUUGUUUUCUGCGUGUUUUGGGCUUUUCAGGUUUAUAGUACCAAACGAAGUCCAAUUGCCCCGAAACUUUUUUAUGAUUUUUUCUAGACCAAAAGAAGACCCCGAAGCUUCAGAAGGAGACCAAAGGCCACGCGAGGGAGCCAGCACACAAUAGGGUGCGACUAGGGGGAUGGUCGUGCCUUGGUGUGUGGUGGGCCCCCCGGGCGCCUCCUCACAUCCCUCUUUGUCCUAUAAAUCCUCAGUUAUCACAAAAACCCUAGAGAGCCACCCAAAACACUUUUUCCGCCACUGCAAGUCUCUGUUCAUUUGUGUGGCCAUCUAGAUCCCUUUUCCGAUGCCCUAUCGGAGGGGGGUCGAUCACGGAGGACCUCUACAUCAACCUUAUUGCUCCCAUGGUGAUGUGUGAGUAGUUUACCACAGACCUAUGGGUUCGUAGUUAGUACGUAAAUGUCUCUCUCUCUCUCUGUGUGUCUCUAUAUAUUGAUCUUCAAUACAAUGAUCAUCACAUCUUUGCUUUGAUCUAUCCGAUGUAAUCCUUUUGUGCGAUGCAUUUUUUGGGAUCCGAUGAAUUGUGGGUUUAUGUUCAGAUUAUUCAUGAUAAAGAUUUGAUCCUUCUAUGAAUUAUAAUUAUGAUUCUUAUUUGCAUGAUUAUGAUAGCUUCAUAAAUCUCUCUGAUCUAUUGAAAUGGUUUGGCCAACUAGAUUGAUAUUUCUUUAGUGAGAGGAGUGUGUUGUACUCGGUUCAAUCUGAUGGGUUUCUAUAUCCCCGUGACAGAAGGGGACAAGAUAUGUCUUUGUAUUGUUGCCACUAAGGAUAAAACGAUGGGCUUAAUUCAUAUUUAUUUAAUUAUUUUUGCCUACACCAUGUCAUUGUUCUCCAAGCAUUACUCCAUUUUACUUAAUACUCUAGAUGCAUGCUGGAUUGCGGUCGAUGGGUGGAGUAAUAAUAAUAGGUGCAGGCAGGAGUCGACAUAUUUGCUUACAGACGUGAUGCCUAUACACAUAUGAUCAUUGUCGUGAAUAUCACAUAACAAUGCGCUUUUGUAUCAAUUGCCCAACGAUAAUUCGUUUACCCACUGUAUGCCUAAUACAUGAGAGAUGCCACUAGGGAAAACUACGCCCCCCGGGUCUAUGCACUUAUAAGUUUACAAACGCAACAAUUACCUCGCUGCCUUUAUUUAUUUUGCAAUUAUCAAGUUUUAUAUACACACUUUACUUGCUUGCAAAUAACAAGUCCAAGGGGAUUGACAAACCUCUUACCCGCGUUGGGUGCAAGUGUUUGCUUGUUUAUGUGCAGUCGCUAAAGACAGGGGCUGGUUGUUACUCAUAUUGGUUCGAUAAACCUUGGUUCUCUAAUAAGGGAAAUACUUACCUAUAUAUUGUUGCAUCACCUAUUCCUCUUCAAAAAAAAACCAAUACAUAUCACAAGCAUCACACCUCUCUCUCCCUUGCUACCUUUCUCUGUGUCGCCGACAGGCUGACCCCACCACCUUCUUCCGUCCCACGCUGCAUCGUGUCCAAGCCGUGCACGCACCUCUGUCGUCACCACUUCUACGAUCUCUGGGAUUCGAUUCCUAGGUUUCCCUCUUGCACGUGAAGAUGUCCCUAUAAAUAUGCAACACCUCCAUUUUCGAUUCCCCCUACUCUCACCAACCAAACCCCCCUCGAGAGCACGCACGAGUGCUUCCAAUCUCAUUUGAACCGAAGCUUUGUGUCGUCGAUUCCAUUGCCAGUGAGCACUUUCGUUCCCCCUCCUAUGUCUUCUCCAUUACCUCGCCUAUGCACGUCAUUUGGACAUGUUCUUAUGCCCUACUGUCCUCCAUAGCAGCAUCAUCAUUGUCACCGAGCCCCACCGAAGCACGCACAAUGCCAGAAGCCCUCCGAGCUUUCCCCGCUCGCUCCCAUCGACCCUGACCUCCAUCGUCACCACUACCGAGAGCCCCUCGCCGAACUACACACGUAGGACACUGAUGUAUACGCAUGCUUCUAUUCUUUUAGACUAUGUUGGGCCUCCAAGCGCAGAGGUUUGUAGGACAGCAGCAAUUUCCCUCAAGUGGAUGACCUAAGGUUUAUCGAACUCAGGGAAGUAGAGGUUGAAGAUGGUCUCUCUCAAGCAACCCUGCAAUUAAGAAACAAGAAGUCUCUUGUGUCCGCAACACACCUAAUACAAUGGUAAAUUGUAUAGGUGCACUAGUUCAGCGAAGAGAUGGUAAAAUAUGGGUGAUAGGUGUGGCAAAGCAAGGUAAUAUAAAUCUGUAAUAAAAAUUACACCAAGGUAGCAAGUUACAAAAGUGAGCAUAAACGAUGUAACAAUGGUGAGAAACAAGGCCUAGGCUUCAUACUUUCACUAGUGGCAACUCCCAACAACUUUAACUAGUCUCUUUGUGAUCAAGAGAGGACGGGAAUUAUGGAGGGCUACAAAAGCACACCUCAGAGUUCGUAGUUCUCAUCUAUGGAUUUCUCAAUGUCACCGCAGCCAUCCAAAGAGAGUACCACAAUCACCAUAAUGUAUAUCAAGGAUAGUCAAAGACAAGCACCAAGAGACUCUCAAUCUUCAAUCAAUUCACAAAAGAGGAAAUCACUCAUGAAAAUAUUCUUCUAAUCUAUGUCCAAUAGACCGCUGUCACCAUGGUCUCGGGGAUUAUACUAGAUAAGAUCAAGUGAGUACAUCAAUCCAAUACAUAGAAGAAGGGGAAACAUCAUGGGACCACCCUAGGUUAACAUAGCCUAUGAUCACAGUCAAGAUCACAUCAUGGGAGAGAGAAUUAACCACAUAGCUAUUUUAGAAGACCUCAGCCCCGAGGGGGAACUACUCCCGCUUCAUGGAGGGAGGAAGCAACGUCGAUGGAUAUGAAUCUGGGGGCACUUCCCCGUCCCGGCAGGGUGCCGGCACAGGAAUUCUGGUCCCCCAAAACUUGUUGGCGAUGGGCGCGGAGAUCGGAAUUGCUUCUGGAGAAAAGGGUUCCGGAAUCAGGGUUUCCUCCACGGGGGUAAAAAUAGGAGCCAAGGUAGGGCGCCAGAGGGGGUGGGGCCCACCCAGGCGGCCUCCCUGCGCGGCCAGGGGGCAGGCCGCGCCACCAGGGCGCAUGGGGGCCUCGUGACCCCCCCUUUGGCCCUCCUUUGGCCGUCUGGAGUCUUCUAGAACGCUGAUUUUUUAUAUUUUUUUGAGGAAUUUUUUGGGCAGUGUAAAUAUGGGUAUAAACCUACAAUUCACACACAUCAGCAGAUAGAAAUCGACACUGGGUGCACUGAGUUAGUAGGUUAGUCCAAAUAUGUUGAAAAGGGUAUGAAAGUGUACAAAACACAUAGCAAUAUCACCCAAAACUUGCAUGGAGCAAGUAGAAAUUAUAGAUACGUUUGGGACGUAUCAGACACCAUCGUUGUUGCCGACACCCACUGGAGCACUACCACCAGCCACGCCCGACCUCUCUGCCCCGAGCAAUGACCACGCCACCUCUCUUGUAAGCCAUCGCUGCCCUCGGUUGUCCAAUUUAUUUUGAUGCUCUGGAUUAGAUCUAUAUGAAGGGGUAGGGUUUCUUAGUAGAUUAGUAUCAUCCCGGUUAAUCUCUAGUUUUAUAAAAAUAAAUGCCAAGUUUUGUGUUAAUUAGCCGUCGACGACCGGAAUCCUUAAUUACCGGUCAUCCGCGUGGAUUGAACGCUCGUAGCCACUCACAUAGCGUCGCGUGUCCAUGGAUGACCCUUAGUCUUAGUUUUCUUUUUUCUGUUUUAAUUUAUUUUAUAGAUUUAGUUUUGAUUUUAGAUUUCUUACAUAUUUUAGAGUUCAACGUUUUUGAUUGAUUCUUUUUUGUAGUUGCAAAAUUCUAUGUAGUUUCUCUUUGUGCAGUUAUUUUUCAAAUUUGAAUAGUUAUGUUCAAAUUUGCUCAAAUCAAAAAUUUGUGAAUAACUUGAGUUUAAAAAUAGAUUAUUUUUAAUUGAUUCUUUUUGCUUCUCGUCAGUAAUUGUAUUGUUUUGAAGUAGGAGUAACUAGGGUAAUUGUGGAAUAUUUUAAAUUAGGGUUUUAGUAGAAACAAUAGUAUUUUAACUUUGUUUUUGGUUUUGUAUUAUUCUUUUACUUUUAAUUGAUUUUUUAUUAUUUUCUUUUGUCACUUCUCACAAGUUUUUCUUUGUUUCUCGUAGUUAACACUAGACCUUUUUAUUUGUAGUUAAAAUAAUUUUAUUAUUAUGUUUCCUUUAGUUUUGUAUGAAAGCCUUACAUAGGUUAUAAGUAGGGUUUUACAAAACUUUUUUAUUUGUUUCUUUUUGCUAGUAAAAGUUUAUGAAAAAUACUUUCUGUUAAAUUAGUUGUUUAUAUUUUUAUUUCCUAUUAAUUUACUAGUUUAGUAUUUUCUUUGUUGUAAAGUUUUAGUAGGUUCUAUAUAGUUUUUCCUAUUAGUUUUGUUUUGAAGUUUUCGUUGGUUUGUAUUGGGUUUUCUUAUUGACUUCUUGAAUUCAUCUUAUUUGUCGAUUGUUAUUUUGAAUGCUAGAAUGUUCGCAUAUAUAAAUGCUAUGUAUGUUUAAUAUAGAUUUCAUCGGAGUGACGAAUAGUUCUACGGAGUCUUUUUCUAAGGGUGUUAUAAAUCUUAACCAACUUACCAUGCAAGUUCACUUUGACCAUUUUAUUCAUACCUAUGUUUUUAUUGCAUUUAGUGUUACGUCCAACGAAUUUCUCCAGUAGUGAUAUUGAAUUCUUGUAGUUGAGUAGAAUGCAUGAGGUAGGAACCCAUCGCCCUAUUAUCAAUCCCCGGGGUGUUAUUUAGUUUUAAUGCUACACUAUCGUAGACAGGGUUUGGUAUGAGUGUUUGUGAGUGGUGCGAGAAGGAGGACUCUAUGUCAAAGACGACUACUUCAUGAUGGCAUCAUCAAGGCAUGCAUCUUCAAGACCUAAAGAUUUCAAUACUCGAGACAAGAUUUCAAUACGUGGAGGAUGGUUUGAUGGGCACCCUCGAGUAACCAGUGGAUGGCUGGGAUGCAUGGAUAAGAGCCAUGACAUCUUGGAGAAAUCUUCACCCAAACUCAAAGAGACGGAAGAAUACUUCAUGUCCGGAAACUUACUUGUGCAGCCACAAGUCAUUAUGGGCUCUGGCUUGGUUGACCUUAGUUGUGACUUUGGCUGGGACAGUGCUAGCAGAUGUAGUUGAUGGUAGGAUUGGAUGGGCACGGAACAAUGAUCAUGGGAACUGUUUGAACGACUAUGUUUCAUUCAUCCUGUUCUCAAACACCCGACAGUGCGAGGACUUACAAGGAAGGAAUGACUUUUGUGGGUAAAGUGCACAACACUUUACAAAGUUAAAACCUAAUCGAUUAGAUGUGUCCCCGGCUACAGAAAAUUUGAGCCUCUCGACUUGUAUCUAUGUCUGAACUCUCAACAUCGGAUUGAUAACUAAUUGUGGGCAACUUAUGAUACUUGUGGGCUAUGCCACAUCGGUUGGUGGAACCAUGCCAUGGAAGAGAAAUAUGUAGCGAAGACUCCUGAUAUUCCAUUGUUGUAGGAAAAAGAAAAUAAAACCAACAUUUAUGCAAAAAUUCAGACACAAAAGCACAAAGCCUUAUUGCAUGUAGAAUAGUGUUUACCAUCCACUUCUUUUGUGAUAUUGCCACUACAUUCAAUGUACUGACCUGGACGGUUGCAACAUCUUAUGUUGCACAUAUUUUAUGAUGAGUAAGAGCACACUAUGGGGUUACGGUCUACACCCAACUUGUCGUUGGCGUUGAUGGGACUUCACAUCCUAAAUGAUUUGUUUCUGCUAUGAUAUAAGGUAUACUAUGGAUCUACUGUAUUUAUUUUACAUGUGAUGUUAUGGUAUUUCAUUGAAUUACUAUGUGUGCCAACACACUGAUCUAGGGAUGGCACAAAAAACACAGAAGCACGGAUCCAUUUGGGUCAGGUCACUACAAUGCAUCUCCAACAAUCUUUGGGUCCAUUAACAUAUGAAUUUGAGCCUCUAUGACCUCCCAGAAAUGCAAUCGGUGUUUACAAGAUUCAUCAAACUCACAGGGAUGGAAAUUCAAUAACACAGUGAACUGGUCAGCAAAGCAAGUAUUCUUUUCUUCCUCGGUCACCCAUUUAAUGACCCAAGUGUUGCAAUCCGCAAAAUCUCGUGAGAUAUAUAAGGUGACAUAGAACUGAAGAAUAACUUAUCGGUUCUAGCCAUGAUUGAAGUGCGGGAAUCCCUUUAGAAAGUCUCGCUUGAUCUGUUAAAAGGUUUGGUGAAAGCACAAUAAACUUUCAAGUUCAAAAAAUUCAAGAAUUUUGUGCUUGAAGAUGUGAUUAUUGAAGUACAGAAGACGGGCAUAAUAUAAAACAUGUUCCUCAGUCUAGAACCAUGGUGACAGAGAUGUUCUCUCCCCUUCAUAUGGACUAGUUAAGAAUAGGGAAAGCUUUGACUGGUGAACCUGCUCGUUGAAGGUUGGUCCAUUCAGACCGGUUUCGAUAGGAAACAAGGGAAGGUUUCCAAAGGAUUCAACAGUGAUUCUUAUUCAACCAGGUGUUGAGUCUGAACAUCAUUUGCAGUAGGCACUUCUUCUUGAGUUGGCUUAAGUGGAGCAUGUGACUUCCUUGAUUUUCCUUUUAUGGAUGGCUUUUGAAGGACUUGAGGGGCCAUCAUUCUUGCUCGCUAGAACUCCUCAACACGCAAAGGCACAAUGACCUCUUUCUCGGAACCAUGAGUAACUGUGGAUGGAGCAAUAUCUUGAGUCAUCGGUCAUCAAGUUUAUUUUCUUCCUCUCUGACUAAGAAACAGUGGAACGAGGAGCGAUAUCAACAUCCAUCCAAGUAGGACCAUCACACGAUGUGACCAGGGUGUUUUCUCUCGAGAAGCAUUUUGCCCCCCCCCCCUCAAUACGAUCUUUCCCCUCCUUCCUUGGACCGGAGGGCUCAACUGAAAAAUAUUUCAUAGGAGAUGGAAUUUCUUUCUCAACCUCAAUAUCUUCAUUAGUUUCUUCAACUCGAGCUUGCUCCUUUGGUAAUUCAUUUCCAUCAACAAAUUUCUCUAAGAAGAGCUUUAGAUUGCUGCUUGUGGGCUACUGGUUAUGGAAUGAUGGCUUCAUUGGCACAAACUUGAUGCAAGGUUUCUUCCUCAUGAGACGGAGAGGAAGGUACACUUUGCAAGGGAGCACUUGAGCUCAGAGGGACAACAUCAACAACAAUAGUUAUGAGGUGGUGAUGUUUGUUUUCUUUCGGCUUGGUAGCUCUUGCCCUAGCCUUCUCACAUUUUUCUUCCUUAACUCUUCGUCGAGCAAGAUUAUCCUGACGCUCGAUUUGAUCAUUUCAUCUGUCACAAAGCUGAGAGAGAUACAUUUGGGAGUGCCACUCAACUUUGUUACUGUGAAUCACACGCAAGGGUUUGUGACACUCGCAGUUUCUUUGUUCACGCAUUUUGCUCAUUUUAGUAUUGGUCUCUUUCUUCAUUCUCUCCAGCUCUUCCUUAUCUUUCACUACUUUGUUGAGCUCCUUCGAGUUUUUCUUCAACUCAGCGAGAUGUUUGGCUGCAAGUUCCACAACAUCUUCACAAAGACCCCGACUACACAGGUCUACAAACUUGACAUCAUGGGCUGAAAUUUCAAUUAUGUUGUUGAAGUAUAUGAAAUCAUAGUUCUUUGGUUCCUCUAUGGUAGCAGGAACAUUUGACUGGCCUUCUUGGCAGACGCAACAUUUUCUUUGGCAACCUAAAGUUUUCUCUUCGCUUCAGCUUUGGUCAAACUCUUCGUGUUGGAAAUAUGCCCUAGAGGCAAUACUAAAAUAGUUAUUAUUAUAUAUCAUGUUUCAAGAUAAUCAUUUAUUAUCCAUGCUAUAAUUGUAUUGAAUGGAAACAUAAAUGCAUGUGUGGAUAUAUAGACAAAACAAUGUCCCUAGUGAGCCUCUAGUUGACUAGCCUGUUGGUCAAGGAUGGUUAAGGUUUCCUAGCCAUAGACAAGUGUUGUCACUUGAGAAGGUUUUUGCACCUCAAGCCUUCGUGCAGCCCUCUCGCCCUCCACUACUUCGUGACACCUUGUAGCUAGAUCGGUACGGCACGGCGAAUCCCUACACAAGUAGCUUCACCAUCAUCACCGCCACGCCAUCGUGCUACCGGAGAACUCACCUACCUCUUCGUCUCUCUUGCUAGAUAAAGAAGGCGGAGAUCAUCAUCGAGAUGUACGUGUGCUGAACAUAGAGGUGCCAUCCAUUCGGCGCUAGAUUGGGACAGAUCGUGAGACGAUGGCGAUUUGGAUCGUGAAGACGUUCCACUACAUCAACCGCAUUUCUUAAUGCUUCCCGCUUAGCGAUAUGCAAGGGUAUGUGGAUCCGAUCUCCCUCUCGUAGAUGAUCAUCACCAUGAUAGGUCUUCGUGUGAGUAUGAAUUUUUUUGUUUCCCAUGCAAUUUUCCCCAACAGUGGCAUCAUGAGCUAGUUUCAUGCGUAGAUGAUAUCUUGAAUAGAACACAAAAGAGUUUGUGGGCGUUUAUGUUCAAUUUGAUGCCCUCCUUAGUCUUUUCUUGAUUCAACGGCAUUGUUGGAUUGAAGCGGUCGGACCAACUUUACUCGUACGCUUACGAGAGACCCGUUUCAUAGACUGACAUGCAACUUGUUGCAUAAAGAUGAUUGGAGGGUGUCUGUUUCUUCAACUAUAGUUGAAUCGGAUUUGACCGCGGCGGUCCUUGGAGAAGGUUAAAUAGCAAUUUUUGUUGGAAUUAUCCCCUAGAGGCAAUAAUAAAUAUAGUUAUUAUUAUAAUUCCUGUAUCANNNNNNNNNNNNNNNNNNNNNNNNNNNNNNNNNNNNNNNNNNNNNNNNNNNNNNNNNNNNNNNNNNNNNNNNNNNNNNNNNNNNNNNNNNNNNNNNNNNNGAGAGGAACCCCGCUGAUGAACCUGUUCGCGUUGAGGAUAUGUCAGCAGGCGAAGUUUUCAACAACCAUGCGACCACAACUGAUGUUGCCGGAGAAGGAGUGCCCCGUCUCAACAAGCAACCAUGGGUAAGACCUCUUGCCGUUUAAUAUCUUUAUUUUCUCUUUUUUGUCUUCUUAACUUAUUCUAAGUCCAAUUUUAUUCAUUCUUUGAUUUUGUAGAUCUACUCUUAGUGGACGAUGUGAACGUGGACACCCGCACCGAGGAGGCACCAAAGAAGCGGCCACUGAGCCCAGCCGAGCUGCUGCAAUGACGGAACCGCCAACAAGGCUGCUAAGGAGGGCGACAAGAAGGCUGCUGUGGAACGUGUGUCGGAGGCGACCGUGGAUACUGAAGACAUUUUUGUCUCAAGAGUGCCCGACAAAGGCAAGCUCGUCAUGACGGAGAUAGCCGAUAAGGAUGCUGUUGAACCAUCAUCAUCUGAAGUACCCGCUCCUAGCAAGUACCUCAAGGUCAGCAACUUGCAGUUCGUCAGCGUUCCCAACGAGGCAAUUUUCCAAGAUUUCUCUAGAGAAGGAGCCCUUAAUGAUGUCGUCGCCACAACUGGAGGGCUAAUAACUGUUAAUCCUUUUGGUGGCACUGAUGAAGCCAAGGAGCAUGCCCUUCUUUCUUCCAUUGACAAAUACCUCAAGCAGCUCUAGACUGAUGAAGCCAAGGAGCAUGCCCUUCUUUCUUCCAUUGACAAAUACCUCAAGCAGCCCUAGGCUCUUUACAAAAACCAUUCGGAGAGGUUGGAUCGUCUGGAAGCUAUUCUUCUCGAAGGGGAAGCCAGGUUCAAUGAGCGUAUUGACGAGACGUGCACUUCGUUCACCCAGAGCUGUUAAGACCUCAAUAAUCGGUAGUAUAAUCUCACCAAGGCAAUGGAGGAGUUCUUUUGCCUAAAAGGCCGAGGCAGAGGCAGAGUGGGAGGAGGCUGGUGAAAGGAUUGCUAUUACUGAUGCAUAUCUUAUCAAGCGCAAGGACCAGCUCGACUCACAUGAAGAAGAUCUUGCCGCCCGAGAAACGCCAUCUCUGCCAAGCUCGAGACCGAGCAUGAUAAGCAGAUCCAGGAGUUCGAGCACAGGCACAAGGAUGCCCUCGGGAAGCAACUUGCGGAAUAUGCUGGCAAGCUCCAGGAGGCCAUUGAGACUGCUAAACUUACUCAAGCUACCAAGACCGAAUUGGAAGGCAAAGUGAAGAAAAUGCAAUCUGAUCUAGCCGCUUGUGGAAAAGAAGUCUUGAGGUUGACGGUCGACAUCCAGAAGACAACUUGAACCUUGACGGACCUCGAGGUUGCACUCUCGGACGAGACCAAAGAACUAUCUGUUUCCGCCAACCUCAACUUGAUCUGAAGGUGAAGGUGAGAACCUAUGAGGACAACCUUGAGGCUGCGAAAAAUAAGGAGCAGGCCCUGCUUGAAAACCUUGAGAAGGAGAAGGAUAUGCUUAGUUCUACUACCCAGGACUUCAAUGAACUGAAGCAUAACUUGGGAGUGUGGACGAAGCAACUCAUGAUCAUUGUCGGCAAGCUCUCCACCCAGCUUGCCACCAAGUGCGUUGGAAAAUGUGACUUAUCCUAGGACGGCACGAAGGCCGCGAGCGCCAGGUUACCCAUCUUAUUAGAGAAGCUUGUAGGGGCACUCUAGAAGUACAAGGAGGGCCGGUCUGACAACUUCCUCAAGGGGUCCCGCAAGCUGCGUCGUGGUGUUCUCCACAAGAUAUUGGUGAAAUUCGCCUUCCACAACCUCGUUAUCAACCUAUCCAAGGCCUUCUCCAAGUUGUUAAAGAUCGUCGACACCAUCGCCAUCGAUGCCCUUGUCGCUCCUAUCUCCGAGAGGGUUGGCUUAGUAACUUUGAAGAAAUCAACCCAUCUUGUUCCAUUCUUGUCGCUAGCGUUGUGCAUGUACCACAAACAUUUGUCUUGAAUUAGCACCGCACCUUCGUUUUUUAUGUAAUAUAUUAUGUUUGUUGGAAUGNNNNNNNNNNNNNNNNNNNNNNNNNNNNNNNNNNNNNNNNNNNNNNNNNNNNNNNNNNNNNNNNNNNNNNNNNNNNNNNNNNNNNNNNNNNNNNNNNNNNGGGGUAUGGCAUUUUCUUGAUUGCAUCGACCUUAGCCUUAUGGACUUCAAUACCUCUUUCAGAAAUUUUAUGUCCUAAGACGAUGCCUUCAUUAACCAUAAAGUGCCACUUCUCCCAAUUCAAGACAAGAUUGGUGUCUUUACAUCUCUGCAAGACUCGAUCAAGGUUGCUGAGGCAAUCAUCAAAGGAAGACCCAUAAACGGAGAAGUCAUCCAUGAAAACCUCAACAAUCUUUUCACAAAAGUCAGAGAAUAUAGCCAUCAUACAUGUUUGAAAGGUGGCAGGUGCAUUACAUAAGCCAAAAGGCAUACGUCUAUAAGCAAAGGUACCGAAAGGGCAGGUGAAAGUGGUUUUCUCCUGAUCAGAUUGUGCAACUGGUAUUUGGGAGAAACCAGAAUAACCGUCUAGAAAGCAGAAGUGUGUGUGUUUGGACAACCUUUCUAGCAUUUGGUCGAUAAAAGGUAAAGGGUAAUGAUCUUUCCUAGUGGCUUUAUUCAGUUUCCUAAAAUCGAUCACCAUCCUAUAGCCAGUAAUAAUCCUCUGUGGGAUCAAUUCAUCCUUAUCAUUAGGGACAACGGUAAUGCCUCCCUUCUUAGGGACGCAAUGCACCGGACUCACCCAAUCGCUGUGAGCAACAGGAUAAAUGAUACCUGCUUCCAGGAGCUUUAGUAUUUCUUUUCUUACUACCUCUUUCAUCUUAGGAUUCAAUCUCCUUUGGUGAUCAACAACUGGUUUGAAGUCAGGAUCAGUUUUAUCUUGUGCUGGCAUAGAGUGGGACUAAUACCCUUAAGAUCAUCAAGAGUAUAUCCAAUAGCAACACGGUGCUUCCUCAGAGUUUUUAGUAACUUCUUUUCUUCAUGCUCUGAGAGGUUAGCACUAAUAAUAACAGGAUAUAUCUCCUUUUCAUCAAGAUAGGCAUACUUAAGAGUAUCAGGCAACUGUUUAAGUUCGAACACAGGAUCACCCUUCGAUGGGGGUGGAUCCCCAAGCAGUUCAACAGGCAAGUUAUUCUUAAGAAUAGGAUAUUGUUCUAAGACAACUCUAUCUAUCUCAUCCCUUUCAUCCAUAUGCAUAUCAUUUUCAUGCUCAAGCAAGUAUUUCUCUAAGGGAUCAGUAGGAGGCACGGCAAUAGAGGCUAAGGCAAUAGUUUCAUCCCUACUAGGCAACUCUUUUCAUGAGGUUGUCUACCAAACUUAGAGAAAUUGAACUCGUGUGACACACCUUCAAAGCCAACAAUGACAGUUUGCUUCUCACAAUCAAUAUGAGCAUUGACGGUAUUGAGAAAAGGUCUACCAAAUAUGAUGGGACAAAAGCUAUCUUGUGCGGUAACAAGAACGAGGAAAUCAGCAGGAUACUUCGUUUUACCACACAAGACUUCAACAUCCCUAACAAUUCCCACAGGGCAGAUAGUAUCUCUAUUGGCAAGCUGAAUAGUGACAUCAAUAGGCUCUAUCUCAACAGGUGCAAUCUCAUCUUUGAUUUCAUCAUAUANNNNNNNNNNNNNNNNNNNNNNNNNNNNNNNNNNNNNNNNNNNNNNNNNNNNNNNNNNNNNNNNNNNNNNNNNNNNNNNNNNNNNNNNNNNNNNNNNNNNCAGCGGUACUACCGCCAGGGCGAGGCCCUCAAAUUUAUUCAGCAACUUGGCAUUCAGGACAUCAUCACCUUCCAUAAUGACUUUGAUCCAGAGAUUGUGGCCCAGUUCUAUGUUACCGUUCACUUCCACUCUAAUGAAGAUCACACUAUGACUUGGAUGACGCGUGGCCAGAAAUUGACCGGAACUUGGGUUGAGUUCAUGCAGCUCCUGAAGGUAGAAGACCAGGGGUCACAGACUGCUAUUGGUUUGCGUCCUCAUAACUAACCUAGCCCCACCCCUAAGAACAGGCUGCAACAUCUCUAUGUGAGGAAGAAAGUGCUUCCCCCGCACCUAGAUAUUAUGCACCGGAUUUUUCGCAACACGUUGUUUCCUCGUAUUGGCAACAAGGACGAGGUUCACUCCUAUCUGGUGGAUUUGCUUCUGCUGCGUGAGGAGGCAAGGUCGAAGGACAUCAGGCAUCUCGACAUAUCUGAUGUGAUGUUCAAUUAGCUCAAGAAUUGCAUCCUGCACCGUAGGGUUCCCAUCUAUGGGCCUUACCUGUUCUAUUUUAUCCAGAAGAAGUGGGCAGAAUCCUAUCCAGAUGUACCUCUCCCUAUUGAAGCUGACUAUAUCACUCAUGAUCCUAUCAAGCUACGUCAGAAGGAUAAAUGUGCCAUCAGCUCAACGUCUUCUCAGCCCAUGGAGACUGACACCGAGACUGCUGCUACUGGAGGAGGCCCUGUGUUGCAUACUCGCUCCUCUGCUAUGCCAUCGUGGGCUGUGAAGCUGAAAGAUCAGAUGAAGACCCUCUUCUGCAUCCAGGCCAAGGGACAGUAUCAGUCUCAUGUGGCCCAGAAGCAGAACCGUCAGAGGCACAAGCGUGUCUUGAGGACCCUUGAUGUGGAGAUCUCGAGCGGCUCUGAGGACAUCAUCACUCCGGAGACUGACUGGAUGAGGGCUCAAGGCUACCAGUGGGAUGGGUCCGAUAUUGAAGAGGAGGUUUCUGACGAGGAUGCUAAGGACGAGGAGGAUGAGGAGCAUGCAAAUGCUACGGACGAGUCUGAUGUGUGUGCUUGAGUGACCACCUGUGUUCUAGGUGUCCUCUCUGUCCCUUUUUGGCGUCUUGAUGCCAAAGGGGGAGAGAGGGUGUAGGGAUUUGCUUUGCUUCUUGAUGCCAAAGGGGGAGAGAGUGUGUAGGGAUUUGCUUUGCUUUAUCUUUAUCGUUGCUUUGCUUUUUGAGUCUUUCUGUGCUGAACUUGGUUGGUUUUAUCGUGUUGGAUUACUUAUCAUGGUUGUGAGACUGUUUUAAUCAUAUGGUGUGAGACAUAUGCUAUCCCUAAAUUAUCCUUAUUAUUAUCUUCUUAUCUCCCCAUAUGAUAGCCGUGAGUUAAUUAUNNNNNNNNNNNNNNNNNNNNNNNNNNNNNNNNNNNNNNNNNNNNNNNNNNNNNNNNNNNNNNNNNNNNNNNNNNNNNNNNNNNNNNNNNNNNNNNNNNNNNNNNNNNNNNNNNNNNNNNNNNNNNNNNNNNNNNNNNNNNNNNNNNNNNNNNNNNNNNNNNNNNNNNNNNNNNNNNNNNNNNNNNNNNNNNNNNNNNNNNNNNNNNNNNNNNNNNNNNNNNNNNNNNCCUGGACCAUAGACUUUGGGUUUGCUGUUAUAUUCAGUAUUCUUUCUUUUGUGCAAAUCCGGUAUUGUCAUCAAUUCACCAAAACGGGAGAGAUUGUUAGGGCAUAUUUAUGCCUAAGUGAUUUUGGUGAUUGAUGAAAGUACCUCAGUGGACUAAUCGUGUGCAUUGAGCAUUUCAGAUNNNNNNNNNNNNNNNNNNNNNNNNNNNNNNNNNNNNNNNNNNNNNNNNNNNNNNNNNNNNNNNNNNNNNNNNNNNNNNNNNNNNNNNNNNNNNNNNNNNNCAGAGAAGGCCUAGAUCUACACUUCCACCAAGAGAAAUUUGAUUCCCCCCACUAAUCCCUUGCGGAUCUUGUUAUUCUUGGGUGUUUGAGCACCCUAGACGGUUGAGGUCACCUCGGAGCCGCAUUCCAUUGUGGUGAAGCUCCGUGGUCUUGUUGGGAGCCUCCAAGCUUUGUGUCGCAUUCCAUUGUGGUGAAGCUCCGUGGUCUUGUUGGGAGCAUCCAAGCUUUGUGUGGAGUUAGCCCCAACCUUGGUUGUAAAGAUUUGGUCGCCACCUUCAAGAGCACCUACAGUGGAAUCACGACACCUUGCAUUGUAUGAGGGCGUGAGGAGAAUACGGUGGCCCUAGUGGCUUAUUGGGGAGCAUUGUGCCUCCACACCGCUCCAACGGAGACGUACUUCCUGUCAAAGGGAAUGAAUUUUGGUAACACAUCCUCGUCUUCAUCAGUUCCACUUGUGGUUAUCUCUAACCUUUACAUUGUGUAUAUAUUGUUGUAGAGUAUUUCUUACUUGCCUUAGCCAUUAUAGUUGGUAGCAUCAUAUAGGUUGAUCACCUAGUUGUCAUUCUAGAGAACCUUUAUGUUGCUAACCCUAACUUGUUAAGAUUUGUUAAAAAGUGGUAGUUGCCUAUUCACCCCCCUCUAGUCAACCAUAUCGAUCCUUUCAAUUGGUAUCAGAGCCACAUCUCUUCGUUAAGGGUUUCACCGCCCGUAGAGUAUGGAUGAGGAUGAGGGAGGAACCCAUGGGCAACCCGAGGCCAUGGCCUUGACUUCGAUCACCAGAGACGACUUGAAUGCGGCUAUGGCCAAUCUCAGGACUCCUUGACGAACGAAGUCAAGACCAUGUUUAAAGAGUUAAUUGAGGGAAUUAAAAGUUUUCCCGAACCGACGUUGGUGGCUAAACCCGUCAACACGAAUUCGGAGGCCAAUUCCUCCAAGGAAGCGGCUAAAGGUAUGCAACCUGCUUCCCCUCAUGAUAUUAAUGGGACUGGAACCUAUACAUGAGUUCCACCUCCCAUGGUCUAUGGAGGGUCGGUUCCUACUUCGCGUAUUAAUCCUGUAGGUCCUCCUCCUAAGCUUUUUAAGGGUGAUUUUGCUAACUCGGUAUUUUCCAUUAAGUCUCAUUUGAAUCACAGCUCAACAAAUUUAUGGAGAAUCAUUGAGCAAGGCUACUAUCCGCAUGAUCCAAGCAACCUCACUCCAAGAGAAGAAGCGGACAAUCAAUACAAUCCCUCCGCAUUGUUUGUUCUCCAGUCCGCAGUGCCUCAUGAAGAUCUUCCUCACUUGCGCCCCUUCACUUUGGCUAAGGACUGUUGGGAGCACAUUAUGAUUCUGUACAAGGGAAUCUCAAGCAUUCAACGGUCAAACUAUGAAGUGGUGCUUUAUGAGGCCGAUGAGUUUGUGAUGAAGGAAGAUGAGGACCCUCAUGAUCUCUAUCGAAGGGUGACUGCUGUUGCUGUUGCUCUCAAGGAUCAUGGGAGCAAGGAUGUGGAUGACACAUGGAUCAAGCGCAAGUUUCUCAAGGCCAUCAUGCCAUUUAGCAAAGCCAUGUCAUCCGUCAUUCGCCAACGACCAGAUUUCCACUCCUUGUCCUCCAGUGAGGUGUUGGAUGAAUUCAUUGCAAUGUCAAUCAUGAACAAGACCACUGACAAUGCACUUGCUCGCGUUCGGUCAAAGACAACUUCACCCAACCUUGCUUGAAAAGCAAAGGCUGCUUCUGAAGAAGAAGAAGAGGAUGAGGAAGAGGAGAGCUGCCCUGAAGACACUAAGUAUGCUUAUCACGAGCACAUGUCUCUUGAGUCAAGGCAAUUCUGGGGCAACAAGAGAAACUCAAGGCCCAACUUCUCCAAGAAUAACUCAAGUGGGUUCAAGACCAAGCAACGUGUGAGGACAUGCUGUAACUGCGGCAAUGUGAGUCACUUCAUGGCAGAAUGUAAGACAAUGGGGGCAAGCUCAUUCGCAAAGACAAAGCCAAGUCUUUCCCAAACAAGAACAACUUUGUCAAGAAACCCCAUCCAAAGGGUAUGGUGGCACUUGACGAGUACCCCUCCGAUGAUGAUGACGAUGACGAUAUGGUGGCAACUACGACUCCAGCCAUUGCCACCCCUUCUCCCAAGAUGUCUCUCUUCAACGCCCCCAACGAUANNNNNNNNNNNNNNNNNNNNNNNNNNNNNNNNNNNNNNNNNNNNNNNNNNNNNNNNNNNNNNNNNNNNNNNNNNNNNNNNNNNNNNNNNNNNNNNNNNNNGGUUGGAUAUCUACCGUCAAAAACUAUCGCGAUCCCAUAUACUUGUGGGUUAUCAAUCACCUUGUCAUUCUUGCCGCAACUACUUUGGUUGUUGAGCGGAAUUGAAAUAACCUAAGAUCACAAACAAUCUAGACAAGGGUCCUAUGCGUGCAGGUUUCCUCAUACAAAUGUUGAAAUUAUUCAAGGGAAAAUGGCCACAACAAAGAAUUUNNNNNNNNNNNNNNNNNNNNNNNNNNNNNNNNNNNNNNNNNNNNNNNNNNNNNNNNNNNNNNNNNNNNNNNNNNNNNNNNNNNNNNNNNNNNNNNNNNNNNNNNNNNNNNNNNNNNNNNNNNNNNNNNNNNNNNNNNNNNNNNNNNNNNNNNNNNNNNNNNNNNNNNNNNNNNNNNNNNNNNNNNNNNNNNNNNNNNNNNNNNNAAAAGAGGAGGCUAGGAACUUUGCCGGCUCAACCAUCAUUUCACACAAGUUGCUGUGAUCACAACAUACAUAAAGUAAAUAUGUACUUUGACAAAAAGGCGCAGAACACUUAGCUAUAUUGAUUUUUUUGCAAAGGGUCUUCGCCUCACUUUGUACAAAGGUUUACAUGCCUUGCCAGCAGACUCGUACAAAAGGGGUUGCCACAGGGAGUCCCGACAACUNNNNNNNNNNNNNNNNNNNNNNNNNNNNNNNNNNNNNNNNNNNNNNNNNNNNNNNNNNNNNNNNNNNNNNNNNNNNNNNNNNNNNNNNNNNNNNNNNNNNNNNNNNNNNNNNNUCGAGUGCCAUCUUCGGUCUCGAGGCGGACUGCACCGGUCCUGGUGACUCAUACUACCGGUAAGGGCCUUCCCACUUUGGUGUCAACUUGUUUGAUCCCUUCGCGGACUGAAUCUGUCAAAGAACAAGGUCAUCUUCCUCAAUGCUUCUCGUGUGCACCUUGCGGCUUUGAUAAUGAUGCAAGGCUUGCUGGUACUGAGCGACACAUAUGGGCAGCCCAAAGACCAUCUUCCUUGAGGAGCGUGGCAUCAUCUUGCCGCAGUUUCUCGUGCUGGUCUUCAUCGAAGGCUUGUACUCGAGGUGACCCGUAUGUGAGUUCUGCAGGUGGCACUACUUCUGCAACAUAUACCAGGGAGAAUGGUGUCUUGCCAGUGGCUCGAUUUUCUGUCGCCUUGAGUGACCAAAGAACCGCCAACAAUUCAUCAAUCCAGCGCCUUUCGUGCUUGUGCAACUUAUCGAAAGUUCUUGUCUUAAGGCCACGCAACACUUCAGCAUUAGCCCUCUCUACUUGGACAUUGCUUCUGGGGUGAGCAACGGACGCAAAGCAAAUCUAUGUGCCAAGGUCUUGCAGUACCGCAUGAAGGAGUGGUUCAUGAAUUAUGUGCCGCUGUCGGUGAUGAUCCUGUUGGGCACACCAAAAUGAUAGACUAUUCCUUUGAAAAACUUGACGUCUGCUUGUGUUGUCACCUUUCUCGCUGGUUCUAGCUCAGUCCACUUCAUAAACUUUUCAAUUGCAAAGAACAAUAAUUUGAAGCCNNNNNNNNNNNNNNNNNNNNNNNNNNNNNNNNNNNNNNNNNNNNNNNNNNNNNNNNNNNNNNNNNNNNNNNNNNNNNNNNNNNNNNNNNNNNNNNNNNNNGACGCGGUAAGGCCCGCGGUACAUCCAAGCUAACUCUUCCAGCGCUGUAUCGACGGAAGUGGGUUCGGCCUUGUCAAGCCGCGAGAAGGGGCGACGGAUCCGGUUGAGAUCCCCCCUCCGAGGCGAGGGAGGGGUGUAGCCGGGCCGCAUCAGUGAAGGAAGCACUCAGUCCGAGCCGGGGGAAUCGCCAUCCGAUUCAAUUCCCCCGGGCUUGUGACUAGGCCCGGCCCCCUCACCGUCGUCGUCCCCCUCGUCACUGCCGCUCGAAGUGGAGCUCCCAAUGCCGCUCGGGAUCCCUUCACAACAGUCGAGAAGCACACGUGGGGCCCCCCUNNNNNNNNNNNNNNNACAACAGUCGAGAAGCACCCGUGGGGCCCCCCUAAAGCAACAUGGAGGGCCGCCACGGGAGCAAGCCUCGGGGAAGGCGGAGGCGUUGGAGUAGCGCUCUGCCUCCCCCGGCCUUGACCUCCGCGGCGACUUCGGCCCCUCGCCCUUCCUCCACCACGGGCGUUCGGGGCGCCUUUCGUCGUGGCACCCUCAGAAGUUGUGGCAUGAUCCGAACGAGAUCCCCUCGCCGCCCUCACGGCGACGGUGGCCGACCCCGUCCCCUAACCAUGGUUAGGGGCAAGCGGCACGAGCACACAGAAGAAGAUUCAGAAGGCCAGGAUCGAGUAGUUGGGGGAUUCAGAGGGAGUUGAGUGAGAAAAAUCACUUGCAAACCCUCCCAAUUUAUAGGGCGGGGCACGAGGGCUAGCCUCCCUUACUCCAGAAGCCACCACCCUCUACGACCAAUCGCUCGAGCUCACAGGCGAACCGAGAACCGCCUUGAUGUGCCAAUGCAUGCACGGGCGAGCCCAGCCAGUACUGCGUCUUUCAAAGCCUCGUUUGCCACCUGUCCAUCCAUGACUGUGCAUGCAACACGCAUGGCAGAGGUGUUUCAGGAGGCGGAGAGGCCACUCCGCGCACGACCUCCCACUUCGCACAUCCGAUGUGCGGCGUGGGGAAGGGAAACAGCCAACAGAUCCAGCCACAAAGGCCCGUGCACCUCUUUGGGCCUGGCCCAACAACGCUCUGCGCGCGUGUGUGGCCCAGGCCCGGGGGCUCCUGUCGGUGCACUAAAGACUGGGGGAUCUAGUGCCCCAGACUUGUGCACGGGCGCAAAGAGCCCCUGAUGGCAGGGUGUGGCAGAGUACAGACAAGAUGCACCCCCAAGAUAUCCAAGGCCCCGGCAAGCCUGCCUUGCCGGGAAAACACCCAAGGCCACGUCCGUUUAAUGGACGUGAUGAAUGCACCAAGCACAAGGUCCCGACGAGCCUCCCUUGCCGGGAAGAUAGCCGAAGCCCCCCCCGGCAANNNNNNNNNNNNNNNNNNNNNNNNNNNNNNNNNNNNNNNNNNNNNNNNNNNNNNNNNNNNUUCCUUGCCGGUACGAAGCACCAAGGCCCCGGCAAGCCCCCUUGCCGGGAUGAUGCUGCAAGGCACUAGAGGGCGACCGCCCUUGCCAAAGUGCCACCGCCCCCCGAGUUCCAACGCAUUCCGUAUGCGCCAGCGGGGCGUCCAGUUGUCAAAACACUUGGACACAUGUCUUCACCAGCACUUUGCUGACAAGGACAAGACGUGCAUUUAAUGCACCUAACAGCGGUAGAUGGAUAAGCACGGCUCUAGGUUCACUUUAACAUCUCGUGAACCUACCAUCAAGCACUGUAGGUGACCCCUUUGCCUAUAAAAGGAGGCCCUUAGCUCAUUCACAAGAGGUAACACUCUUUGGAGAUUGGCCAAGAAGACGGUUAUCAUCACUGUAACAAACAAUGAAAAACGCUUAAUACGAUCAGACGAGCAGGACGUAGGGUUUUACGCGUAAGUGGCCCGAACCUGGGUAAAAAGGCUUGCCGGGUGUUGAUCGUUAGAUCUGCUCUUGACGUUGUCUUUCCCCGCCCUACGAUCACAAGGGUGUUGAUCGUUAGAUCUUCUCUUGACUUGCUUCUUGCGCCGUAUUUUCAUUGGCGAUCUUUGGCUUGCUGCAGUUGAAUCUAGCUUGCCACCUGUCGUCUUAGGAUUCACCGCCUCUUCAUCCUCAGCUUCGGUUUUCUCCACUAGUGUAGCAUUAACCACUUGAUUUGUUGCCACCAAGUAUAGCAACAAUGACUCUUGUGGCUUAGGCGCAAGUAGAGUUGGUGUUGAGGACAUGUAUCUUUUCAAAUCUUGCAAUGCUAGCUCCGCUUCCGGAGUCCAUUUCAUUGGACCUGCCUUAUUCAAAAUCCUAAAAAAAUGGUAGGGUGUGUUCUGCAGAUUUAGAAAUGAACAUGCUGAGCNNNNNNNNNNNNNNNNNNNNNNNNNNNNNNNNNNNNNNNNNNNNNNNNNNNNNNNNNNNNNNNNNNNNNNNNNNNNNNNNNNNNNNNNNNNNNNNNNNNNCGGCCGCAGGCUAUUCGAGAUUACUACGCCACACGUGGUAUUAAGAAGGAGAAGAAGGAUUGCCGCGGAAAGUUUCUGAAGAAGGAGCAAUACAUGAAGGUAAUUACCUAUUCUUAAGUCCUUCUACGUAGUUUUCUUGAUUUCAUUCAUAGGCGUAGCGCUGAAAAUUCUUUCUAAUAACUUACAGGUGCCCCCGAGAUGGUGUGCGGAUAAGAUGGAUUGUUGGGAGGCGUUGGUUGAUGAGUGGUGCACAGGCAGCUGGCGAGCCGUCCACGAUAAUGCGAAGGAUCGGCGUAGCCAAAUGGUUGGUGUGCCACACCAUCAAGGCAGCGCCAACUUACUUCAGUUUGGACGAAACUGGGUAUGUGAUUUGCUUCAUGAUUCAUGCAAUUCAUUCUUAUGCUAAUAUUUUGUUCCUCUCUUUUAGGCGCAUCACAAUAAGACUGAGAUGCCACACUUGUACGACCUUUAUGGCAUGGCCCAUACUGCCUCGUACAAGAAGGCGAAGGCAUUCUCUGAGUCUGACCUGGAUGAUCCCAGUAACUUCACCAACAUAUCAUCCCACCAGAAGCUCGUGGCAUACAGGGACGCGGGGAAGGCUACGAAAGGGGAUGACUUUAACCCUAGCCAGGAACCUUUGGAUCCAGAGCUGGUGAUGAUAUCUGGUGGCGGGAGGCCACAUGGCUCGAUAGCCAUUGGAGAUGGGAUAAUACGUUGUCCACUCACUCUUCCGGAGAUCAAGGCGCGCCAGUCGAGCAACUGUCCUGAGAUAACGCGUCGUCCACGGCCAGUCGAACUUGCCAUCGAGGUUAGUUGUACGGACUAAGAACACUUUCAUCCAUUUCAUUAUGUGUGUCACCAUAGAUCAUUAGUGUGGUAACGAGGAAUGGUUUUUCAGGCUGCUCUUCAGAAAGAGAGAGCGGCAAACCAGGCUGCUCUUGAGAAAGAGAGAUUGGCAAGCCAGGCUGCUCUUCAGGCUGCUCUUGAUGAGAGGGACCAGAGCACGACACGAUUGCUUGAGGAGGAGAGGGCCGGAAUGAAGCGGGUCAACGGGCCCUGUACGAGCUUUUUGUGGUAUGUUUUUUUUCACAUUAGCCAAAUCAUGUGUGUAAUGUCUGUUUCAAUACUAACUAAUACGACCCACUCUUCAAGGUCUGUGNNNNNNNNNNNNNNNNNNNNNNNNNNNNNNNNNNNNNNNNNNNNNNNNNNNNNNNNNNNNNNNNNNNNNNNNNNNNNCGCCGAUGCCCGUCUUCUCUUCGAUUGGCACGGUGAGUUUCAUUAUAAACUAGUAUUAAUAAUUGAGUGUCAUCAUGCUAACUGAGACAUUGCAAAAUAUCUUUUCUGCAGAAUAACUCCCGAGCGGCAUCGCACGACCCUUCUCCAGGGCAACCGUCUCCAAACGAAGCCNNNNNNNNNNNNNNNNNNNNNNNNNNNNNNNNNNNNNNNNNNNNNNNNNNNNNNNNNNNNNNNNNNNNNNNNNNNNNNNNNNNNNNNNNNNNNNNNNNNNUCAUCAUAGCCGACCACCCCCUCUCUAAUACGGUUGAAAAGAUGCCUACAUAUACGGAAACGGCGACGGAAUUUUUGAUGUUUGAACAACGGGUUUGUUAUAUCAAAGUAGUCCUUCCAAAGAAGGAAAUGCCCGCUCUCUUGGUUGCGAUUCAACGUCAGAAGGUGGCCCGGAAUGGAGCCAUGGAACAACGGCCACUGGCUGUUGAGGUGGUGAUGGAUCAACACGGCAGCCAAUACCUCCUCCUCGUCAUCGAACGACGAAUCGUCGGAGUCGCAAAGGAAAUUGUGAAAAAAGAACUCGUCGGCAGAGUCCAUUUUGUACCUUGGCAAACUGUCGAACUACUUGCGGGCGUCGAUGAAGGAGACGGUCGACGAAGGGAGUCGCGCACGGACCAGCUAGCUGCCCUGCCGGCGUCCGACGAGUCGGCCGGUGUCCGACGAGCGUGCCGGUGAGGAUCUGACCGGGCGGCGAGGCGGCUUCUUGGUCGGGGNNNNNNNNNNNNNNNNNNNNNNNNNNNNNNNNNNNNNNNNNNNNNNNNNNNNNNNNNNNNNNNNNNNNNNNNNNNNNNNNNNNNNNNNNNNNNNNNNNNNNNNNNNNNNNNNNNNNNNNNNNNNNNNNNNNNNNNNNGGCGUUGCUGGGCGGAUGUGGAGGCGCCGACAGCUGGCAGAGUCGCCGGAAAAAUGGGCAGCGGCGGCGACGACGAAGGAGGCGGACGAGGGUUGGAUGGGGGAAGGCCAAUGUGCCACCGACCAGCUAGCCCGGGGGAAGAGAAGGCGAGCGUGCACGCCUGUGUCGCGUGGCCGCGUUGACGCAAAUCCGGCUCAAAAAUGAACCGGGAAUGGGUCGUCCGCGGACGAAAACCGGACGUGUGUUCGUUUGGGUCGGCGCGUUGGGCCGCCUUUUGUGUCCGCAUCGACCCAAACAGACGACGGCGAACGAAAUGGAUCGUCCCAUUGAAGUUGCUNNNNNNNNNNNNNNNNNNNNNNNNNNNNNNNNNNNNNNNNNNNNNNNNNNNNNNNNGCUCUUAUCGCAGUAAACUGCUGAGCAGCCACGUGAAACGGAGGCGAACAAAGGAAGCGCAGGUUGAGCCUCGUGUUUCAAUCAUACACAAAUCCAGGAAAAGUUGCAGCUUUUGACCUGCAUGAUUGUACUGCCCUAACCCCCAACGAUGCAACAGUACAAGCAGAGGCCGGUGCUUUGCAAAAGCAGGAUNNNNNNNNNNNNNNNNNNNNNNNNNNNNNNNNNNNNNNNNNNNNNNNNNNNNNNNNNNNNNNNNNNNNNNNNNNNNNNNNNNNNNNNNNNNNNNNNNNNNUUGAAAAGUUUGGCAUUAAGGUUACUUGGUUAGCCUUCAUCUUCAUCUUGUUGUGAAAGGAAUUGGAGCUCAUAUUCCUUCAUCCAUAGUUUCGACAGAAACAAACUCACUCCUGAACAUGUUGGGGAUUUAGUGUUCACACAAAACAACCUGUGUUUGCUUUCAAGACAAUCUGAGGCUUAUCAUGUUGGGCCAAGCCGGAUGUGGGAUGUGGGUGGAGAUGGGGUUGAGAGCUUCACUGGUGUUGGCAUGCUUGAAGGUGCUAAUUUGACACUUGAUGAACCUGAAUUGGAGGCUAAGAUCAUGUAUGCUCUCACUUGAGUUGUCCUCAUUUAGUUUAUGUUGUAAUGCACAAUUAUGCACUGUAUGACUAUGGGUCUAUGGCCAUGUGAGCCUUGUAUCUUUCUGUUGUUAUGUUGUAAUGCACUAGUUGACAUGGAUCUUCCUCUUUAUCAUGUUAUUUUUCUCUUAGUUUAUGCUACUGCUACAAGCCAACUUGUUUACUGCUUUUUCACUUUUCAUGCUUGUCUAUCUCAUAUUAUCAUGUCUAAUAUCAUGUGUUGCAUUUUCUAUUUUGCAUACAUCAUGAAGAGUUGAGGACCUCGAUGAUCAUUCAAUUCAAGACUAGAAAAGAAAGGAGGCAUGGAAGCAACCAAGCUACGCGUAGGACGGUAUUUUGAUCUCAUACCAUACAUUUUAUUAUGUUAGUUUUUAUUACAUGUCACUUUAUUAUUAUUCAUAUAUGCUCGCCGUGUCGUCAUAUUGAUGUUUAUGAANNNNNNNNNNNNNNNNNNNNNNNNNNNNNNNNNNNNNNGUCAUAUUGAUGUUUAUGAAAUUGUCAUAUCCCGUAUCGCCGUACCCUUGUCGCCGUACCGGUAUCGCCGUAUCGGUGCUUUCAGCGACCGGCGGCUCUUGCUCCGCCCGCAAAGAGUACACAUCCAACGGCACCCACGGGCCACGGCGCCUCGCUGCCACGCUCCAGCAAGGGGCAGGAGCCUAUCGUGAUCUCCUUCGACGAGGAGUAGANNNNNNNNNNNNNNNNNNNNNNNNNNNNNNNNNNNNNNNNNNNNNNNNNNNNNNNNNNNNNNNNNNNNNNNNNNNNNNNNNNNNNNNNNNNNNNNNNNNNUGGCAACGUGGAAACUUUGUUUAACACUGGUUCUAGAUAACUUGAAGUUAACUUAAUUAAAAUAUGCCAACUGCGUGCGUAACCGUGACUGUCUCUUUCGUGAGUUCCUUCUCCGAUCGAGGACACGGUGGGGUUAUGUCUGACGUAGGUAGGUGUUCAGGAUCAUUCAUUUGAUCAUCAGUAGUUCACGUCCGUUAUGCGUAGAUCUUCCCCCUCUUGUUUCUUGUACUCGUAAGUUAGCCACCAAAUAUAUGCUUAGCCGCUGCUGCAACCUCACCACUUAACCAUACCUCACCCAUUAAGCUUUGCUAGUCUUGAUACCUUUGGAAAUGAGAUUGCUGAGUGCCCUGUGGCUCACAGAUUACUACAACAACAGUUGAAGGUAGAGGUAAAGGUCACAUGACGCGAGCGCGUUGAUUGUUCAUUUGAUUACUACAACACCAGUUGCACGUACAGGUAAAGAUUACUUGACGCGAGCGCGUUGAUUGUUCAUUUGGAGUUGCUUCUUCUCCUUCUUCUUCAUCGAUCUAGGAUGGGUUCCAGGCCGGCAGCCUGGGAUAGCAAGGAUGGACGUCGUUCUUAUUUUCUCGUUUGUUUUCGUCCGUAGUCGGACCCUGCUCUUACUCUUGAUGAUUAUGUAACGUACUGAUGUG
Molecule: long non-coding RNA, 64316 nt
Filed under: Hordeum vulgare
Lineage: Eukaryota; Viridiplantae; Streptophyta; Magnoliopsida; Poales; Poaceae
Description: long non-coding RNA (HVUL_LNC012477)
Source: RNAcentral